This 80230-nucleotide long non-coding RNA is filed under the name Triticum aestivum (bread wheat). Its description in RNAcentral is "long non-coding RNA (TAES_LNC022088)". The record is from RNAcentral. Lineage: Eukaryota; Viridiplantae; Streptophyta; Magnoliopsida; Poales; Poaceae.
AUUUUUUUUGUCGAUCCGGACGUACUUUUUUCGACAAACCCGAGACAAACGUGUGGGGACUUUGCGGGAAUCUGAACAAUAGACAUGUAGGACUUCGACGGCCCGGGCCACCCAAAACCCUUCCCGCAUCCCGCGCCUCCAUCCUCCCCAUUUUCUCUCUCUUUCUUCUUUCUCUCUUGCCUUGGCCUCCAUUCCACCAACCCGACCGCCAAGCAACACCCCUGCCGGACUCCAUCGCCUUUCCAACCGGGCUCCACCCCACUUACCCUUCAUCGUCGUUCAACCCAUCUCCUCCCACCGUCCCGCCAGGUACCAUCCGCUACUACUAUACUCACCAUGCCUGACAACUGUUCGAUGAAUUGCCGGAGCUAAAAAAGUUGUCCCUUAUUAUUUCAAGCACUGAAUCCAAUUUGGAGUACAUAUACGAGCGCUAUGUUGAGUCGUCCAACGAGGAGCACUACACAGAUGAGACAGCGAUGAUGCAUGGGGUCCUUGAAGAUGCGGAGCGUGUGGAGGAGCAUGUUCUCAAUUUCAAGAAUCAAUCAAGGGUUAUCGAGUGCUCAACCGCAACAGGGCGCGCGUCCAUUUGCCACUGAUGGUCGACUACUUUGCCCCCAAUUCACUUGUCCCUCACCAUUUUCGCCGGUGUUUUUGGAUGCGCAAGACUGUCUUCAAUCGUUUGUACCAUGACGUCCGGUCCUAUGACGGCUACUUCAUCUUGAAGAAGGACGUCGUGGUAACGAUUGAGUUCUCUGGUUAUCAGAAGUGCAUGAUCAUACUCUGGGUGCUUGCAUAUGGCACGACCGCUGAUUCAUGGGACGAGUACCUAUGGAUGUUUGAGAGCACAUGUGGAGAUGCCAUGGUCAGGUUUGUAACUGUCGUGUCGAGGUGUUUGGACCUCAGUACCCGAGAGAACUAACUAUUGUGAACACCGAGAGGCUCUUGGCAAUCUUACAAGCAAGAGGGUGGCCAGGUUUGCUUGGAUCCCUUGACUGCAUGCAUUGGAAAUGGAAGAACUGCCCGAAGGCUUUACAAGGGCAAUACCAAGAUCAUGUUAAGAAGCCACCAUCAUUCUUGAAGAAGUCGCAUCACAUGAUAUUUGGAUUUGGCAUGCCCAGGUCUCACAAUGACACCAAUGUGCUGCAGCAAUCAACGUUGUUUUGUGAGGCUGACUGAAAGAAAAACUCCUCCUUACUACUAUACUGUCAAUAGACAUGAGUACAACAUACUACUAUCUGGUUGAUGGUAUCUAUCCUCCAUGGACUACCUUUGUUAGCACCAUCUCUAAUCCAGAUGCCCAGAAAAAGUCUCACUUUGCCCAAAGACAAGAAGCAGCUAAAAAGGAUGUCGAGAGGGCGUUUGGAGUUCUGCAGGCCCAUUUUGCAGUUAUUAGAGAACCUGCUAAACAAUGAGAUCAGGAGACCUUGUGAGAGGUGAUGGCAUGUUGUGUGAUCAUGGACAACAUGAUCGUCGAGGAUGAGAGUGAGGAUGUUGCCACGGCUCUAGAAUUUUAGAACAUGGGUGAUCCUAUCGAACUUCUAGAGCAGAAUCCAGCCACAUUUGAAGAGUUUAUUCAAAUGCAUCAACAGAUUCAGCAUCGACCAACUCACGAGUAGCUAAAAGAAGUCUGAUUGAGUAUCAGCGGGUGGUUAAAGGGGACACCAAUGUUGGAAUGUGAUAUAGGAACUUGUUUAAAUUUGAACUGCUACUGCAUGCGGCUAUUUGAACGCGUGUACUCUAUGUAUGCGGUUAUUUGAAUGUCUGAACUCUAUGUAUGCGACUAUUUGAACGUGCGAGCUUUCAAAAUAUUAGGGAGGUCGGAUGUAUGCAAGCAUCGUUGGAUGGCAGCCUCGCGCAUCCAUGUCUACAGACCUGUCCGUGAACUGACGCGGAAGGAAAUUUAUGGGUCGCUGUUGGAGGUGCCGCAAUGAGGGGUAGGGAUCCAGAUCGAUGAACUAAAGCACCAAAAAUAAAUACUCGGCAUAUCAAAAUAAACAAGAAGUUCAACAUCAUCAAUCUACAAAGAUGAUAUCUCAAAUUCUCAACUCUCAUUGGACAGCCCAUGAAUCAGCUAAAAGAAACCAAACAAAUCUGGUUAGUUAUAAUUAGUACUGAGUAGUUGUGAAGAGAUAUACCCCCACUACCAGUGCGACAUGACAUUGGGAUUUUUUUGCCGGUAAAAGGAUUGUAUUACUCAAGAGCAGGAGAGAUCAUCCCUACACAGGCUAGGGAUGUUAGUCGGUCCAGAGCAGAGCCAGACCACCAUACAGUCCUUCGUUCUAUCAAAGUUUGCUAACACAUGGCUCACACUAUUUUGCUCUCUAAAGAUAUGAGUAACACAACACUCCCUAUUACCCAGAAGCUCCUUGACCCCCGAGACCACCAUUGCAUGCUCGGAGUGAUUGUCGUGGUUCUAAGACUGACAGUAGAAAGGGGGGUAGGUAUGGAGAGGCAAGAUCUCAGCUAUGGUGAAGGUGUACUGAUACGUCCAUUUUGCAUCAUGCUUUUAUAUCAAUAUUUAUUGCAUUAUGGGCUAUUAUUACACAUUAUAUCUCAAUACUAUGGCUAUUCUCUCUUAUUUUACAAGGUUUACCAUGAAGAGGGGGAAUGCCGGCAGCUGGAAUUCCGGCUGGAAAAGGAGCAAACGUUGGAAACCUAUUCUGCACAGCUCCAAAAGUCCUGAAACUCCACGAAACAACUUUUUGGAAUUAAUAAGAAUUUCUGAGCGAAAGAAAUACACCAGGGGGCCCACACUCUGUCCAGGAGACAGGAGAGCACCCCCCCCUAUAGGGCGCGCCCCCUAUCUCCUGGGCCCCCUGGUGGGCCUCCGGCGUCCAUCUUCUGCUAUAUCAUCACUUUUACCCUGGAAAAAAUCGUGGGCAAGCUUACGGGACGAAACUCCGCCGCCACGAGGCGGAACCUUGGCGGAAUCAAUCUAGGGCUCCGGCGGAGCUGUUCUGCCGGGGACACUUCCCUCCGGGAGGGGGAAACCAUCACCAACGAUCCUCUCAUCGGGAGGGGGUCAAUCUCCAUCAACAUCUUCACCAGCACCAUCUCCUCUCAAAACCCUAGUUCAUCUCUUGUAUCCAAUCUUGUAUCAAAACCACAAAUUGGUACCUGUGGGUUGCUAGUAGUGUUGAUUACUCCUUGUAGUUGAUGCUAAUUGGUUUACUUGGUGGAAGAUCAUAUGUUCAGAUCCUUUAUGCAUAUUAUUACUCCUCUAAUUAUGAACAUGAAUAUGCUUUGUGAGUAGUUACGUUUGUUACUGAGGACAUGGGUGAAGUCUUGCUAUUAGUAGUCAUGUGAAUUUGGUAUUCGUUCAAUAUUUUGAUGAGAUGUAUGUUGUCUUUUCCUCUAGUGGUGUUAUGUGAACGUCGACUACAUGACACUUCACAUUUAUUUGGGCCUAGAGGAAGGCAUGGGGAAGUAAUAAGUAGAUGAUGGGUUGCUAGAGUGACAGAAGCUUAGUCCCUAGUUUAUGUGUUGCUUCGUUAGGGGCUGAUAUGGAUCCAUAUGUUUAAUGUUGUGGUUAGGUUUACCUUAAUACUUCUUUUGUAGUUGCGGACGCUUGCAAAAGGGGUUAAUCAUAAGUGGGAUGCUUGUCCAAGUUAGGGCAGUACCCAAGUACCGGUCCACCCACAUAUCAAAUUAUCAAAGUACCAAACGUGAAUCAUAUGAACGUGAUGAAAACUAGCUUGACGAUAAUUCCCAUGUGUCCUCGAGAGCUCCUUUAUCAUUAUUAGAAAUUGUCCAGGCUUAUCCUUUGCUACAUAAAGGAUUGGGCCACCUUGCUGCACUUUAUUUACUUGUUACUCGUUACUAUUUAUCUUAUCACAAAACUAUCUAUCACCUACAAUUUCAGUGCUUGCAGAGAAAACCUUACUGAAAACCGCUUAUCAUUUCCUUCUGCUCCUCGUUGGGUUCGACACUCUUACUUAUCGAAAGGACUAUGAUUGAUCCCCUACACUUGUGGGUCAUCAAGACUCUUUUCUGGCACCGUUGCCGGGGAGUGUAGCGCUUUUGGUGAGUGGAACUUGGUAAGGAAACAUUUAUAUAGUGUGCUGAAAUUUUCUGUUACUUGUCACUAUGGAAACUAACCCUUUGAGGGGCUUGUUUGGGGUAUCAUCACCCCAACCAGAAGAGCAAAGAGUUGCCCCUCAACCUACUGAAAUUUAUGAAAAUAUUCACUUUGAGAUUCCUUCGGGUAUGAUAGAAAAACUGCUAGCUAAUCCAUUUGUAGGAGACGGAACAUUGCAUCCCGAUUUACACCUUAUCUUUGUGGAUGAAGUUUGUGGAUUAUUUUAAGCUUGCAGGUAUUCCCGAUGAUGUUGUCAAAAGGAAGGUAUUCCAUUUAUCUUUGAAGGGAGAUGCAUUGACACGGUAUAGGCUAUGUGAUGGUACGAGAUCUUGGAAUUAUAAGCGAUUGAAGUUGGAAUUUCACCAGAAGUUCUAUCCUAUGCAUCUUGUUCAUCGUGAUCGUAAUUACAUAUAUAAUUUCUGGCCUCACGAAGGAGAAAGCAUCGCUCAAGCUUGGGGCAGGCUUGAGUCAAUGUUAUAUUCAUGCCCUAAUCAUGAGCUCUCUCGGGAAAUGAUUAUUCAGAAUUUUUAUGCUCGGCUUUCUCUUGAUAAUCGCAACCUGCUCGAUACUUCCUGUGAUGGUUCUUAUAUGCUGAAGACUAUUGAUUUCAAAUGGGGCUUAUUGGAAAGAAUUAAACGCAACUCUGAAGAUUGGGGUUCCGACGAUGGUAAGGAGUCAGGUAUGACACCUAAGUUCGAUUGUGUUCAAUCUUUUAUGGAUACCGAUGCUUUCCGUGGAUUUAGCUCUAAGUAUGGACUUGACUCUAAGAUAGUAGCUACUUUCUGUGAAUCUUUUGCUACUCACGUUGAUCUCCCUAAAGAGAAGUGGUUUAAAUAUAAUCCUCCUAUUGAAGUGAAAGUAGUUGCACCUAUUACAAUCGAAGAAAAUACUAUUACCUAUAGUGAUCCUAUUGUUCCUACUGCUUAUGUUGAAAAACCUCCUUUUCCUGUUAGGAUAAAGGAUUAUGCUAAAACUGAUGGGGAACGUUGCAGAAAACAAAAAAUUUCCUACUUGUUUCACCAAGAUCAUCUAGGAGUUCAUCUAGCAACGAGUGAUUAGAUGCAUCUACAUACCUUUGUAGAUCGCGCACGGAAGCGUUCAAAAGAACGGUGAUGAUGUAGUCGUACUCGACGUGAUCCAAAUCACCGAUGACCAGCGCCGAACGGACGGCACCUCCGCGUUCAACACACGUACGGGACGGGAGACGUCUCCUCCUUCUUGAUCCAGCAAGGGGAAAGGAGAGGUUGAUGAAGAUCCAGCAGCACGACGGCGUGGUGGUGGAUGCAGGGCGUCACAGCAGCAGGGCUUCGCCGAGACUACGAGGGAGAGAUGUAACGGGGGGAGAUGGAGGCGCCAGGGGCUGGUCUAAAAUCCCUCCUCUCCCCCCCACUAUAUAUAGGGGUGCCAAGGGGGGGGCGCCGGCCCUAGUAGAUGGCAUCUACUAGGGGGGGCGGCGGCCAAGGGGAGGUUUCCCUCCCCCCCAAGGCACCUAGGGGUGCCUUCCACCACAUGGACUCUUCCAUGGUGGAAACCCUAGGCGCAUGGGCCUAUAGGGGCUGGUGCCCUUGGCCCAUCUAGGCCGAGGCGCACCCCCUACAGCCCAUGUGGCCCCCCCGGGACAGGUGGCCCCACCCGGUGGACCCCCGGGACCCUUCCGGUGGUCCCGGUACAAUACCGAUAACCCCAAAACUUGUCCCGAUGCCCGAAAUAGCACUUCCUAUAUAUAAUUCUUUACCUCCGGACCAUUCCGGAACUCCUCGUGACGUCCGGGAUCUCAUCCGGGACUCCGAACAACAUUCGGGUUUCUGCAUAUACAUAUCUUCAUAACCCUAGCGUCACCGAACCUUAAGUGUGUAGACCCUACGGGUUCGGGAGACAAGCAGACAUGACCGAGACGACUCUCCGGUCAAUAACCAACAGCGGGAUCUGGAUACCCAUGUUGGCUCCCACAUGCUCCACGAUGAUCUCAUUGGAUGAACCACGAUGUCGAGGAUUUAAUCAAUCCCGUACGCUAUUCCCUUUGUCUAUCGAUAUGUUACUUGCCCGAGAUUCGAUCGUCGGUAUCCCAAUACCUCGUUCAAUCUCGUUACCGGCAAGUCACUUUACUCGUACCGUAAUGCAUGAUCCCGUGACCAGACACUUGGUCACUCUGAGCUCAUUAUGAUGAUGCAUUACCGAGUGGGCCCAGUGAUACCUCUCCGUCAUACGGAGUGACAAAUCCCAGUCUUGAUCCAUGUCACCCAACAGACACUUUCGGAGAUACCCGUAGUCUACCUUUAUAGUCACCCAGUUACGUUGUGACGUUUGGCAUACCCAAAGCACUCCUACGGUAUCCGGGAGUUACACGAUCUCAUGGUCUAAGGAAAAGAUACUUUGACAUUGCAAAACUCUAGCAAACGAACUAUACGAUCUUGUGCUAUGUUUAGGAUUGGGUCUCGUCCAUCACAUCAUUCUCCCAAUGAUGUGAUCUUGUUAUCAAUGACAUCCAGUGUCCAUAGUCAGGAAACCAUGACUAUCUGUUGAUCAACGAGCUAGUCAACUAGAGGCUCACUAGGGACAUGUUGGUGUCUGUUAUUCACACAUGCAUUACGAUUUCCGGAUAACACAAUUAUAGCAUGAAUAAAGACAAUUAUCAUGAACAAGGAAAUAUAAUAAUAAUGCUUUUAUUAUUGCCUCUAGGGCAUAUUUCCAACAGUCUCCCACUUGCACUAGAGUCAAUAAUCUAGUUACAUUGUGAUGAAUCGAACACCCAUGGAAUUCUGGUGUUGAUCAUGUUUUGCUCUAGGGAGAGGUUUAGUCAACGGAUCUGCUACAUUCAGGUCCGUAUGUACUUUACAAAUCUCUAUGUCUCCAUCUUGAACAUUUUCACGAAUGGAGUUGAAGCGACGCUUGAUGUGCCUUGUCUUCUUGUGCUGCCUCCGAGGCUGCCAUGUACUCCGCUUCACAUGUAGAUCCCGCCACGACGCUCUGCUUGCAACUGCACCAGCUUACUGCCCCACCAUUCAAAAUAUACACGUAUCCGGUUUGUGACUUAGAGUCAUCCAGAUCUGUGUCGAAGCUAGCGUCGACGUAACCCUUUACGACGAGCUCUUCGUCACCUCCAUAAACGAGAAACAUUUCCUUAGUCCUUUUCAGGUACUUCAGGAUAUUCUUGACCGCUGUCCAGUGUUCCUUGCCGGGAUUACUUUGGUACCUUCCUACCAAACUGACGGCAAGGUUAACAUCAGGUCUGGUACACAGCAUGGCAUACAUAAUAGAACCUAUGGCUGAGGCAUAGGGGAUGACGCUCAUCUCUUCUAUAUCUUCUGCCGUGGUCGGACAUUGAGCUGAGCUCAAUUUCAUACCUUGUAACACAGGCAAGAACCCCUUCUUGGAUUGAUCCAUAUUGAACUUCUUCAAUAUCUUAUCAAGGUAUGUGCUUUGUGAAAGACCUAUGAGGCGUCUCGAUCUAUCUCUAUAGAUUUUGAUGCCUAAUAUAUAAGCAGCUUCUCCAAGGUCCUUCAUUGAAAAACUUUUAUUCAAGUAGGCCUUGAUGUUGUCCAAGAGUUCUAUAUCAUUUCCCAUCAAAAGAAUGUCAUCUACAUAUAAUAUGAGAAAUGCUACAGAGCUCCCACUCACUUUCUUGUAAACACAGGCUUCUCCAUAAGUCUGUGUAAACCCAAACGCUUUGAUCAUCUCAUCAAAGCGAAUGUUCCAACUCCGAGAUGCUUGCACCAGCCCAUAAAUCGAGCGUUGGAGCUUGCACACUUUGUCAGCAUUCUUAGGAUCGACAAAACCUUCCGGCUGCAUCAUAUACAAUUCUUCCUUAAGGAAACCAUUAAGGAAUGCCAUUUUGACGUCCAUUUGCCAUAUUUCGUAAUCAUAGAAUGCGGCAAUUGCUAACAUGAUUCGGACGGACUUCAGCUUCGCUACCGGUGAGAAAGUCUCAUCGUAGUCAACCCCUUGAACUUGUCGAUAACCCUUAGCGACAAGCCGAGCUUUAUAGAUGGUCACAUUACCAUCCGCGUCUGUCUUCCUCUUAAAGAUCCAUUUAUUUUCUAUGGCUCGCCGCUCAACGGGCAAGUCAGUCAAAGUCCAUACUUUGUUUUCAUACAUGGAUCCUAUCUCGGAUUUCAUGGCUUCUAGCCAUUUGUUGGAAUCCGGGCCCGCCAUCGCUUCUUCAUAGUUCGAAGGUUCACCGUUGUCUAACAGCAUGAUUUCCAAGACAGGGUUGCCGUACCACUCUGGUGCGGAACGUGUCCUUGUGGACCUUCGAAUUUCAGUAGGGGCUUGAUCAGAAGUAUCUUGAUCAUUGUCAUUAACUUCCUCUCUAGUCGGUGCAGGCACCUCAGGAACAUUUUCUUGAGUUGCGCCAUUUUCCGGUUCAAGAGGUAAUACUUCAUCAAGCUCUACUUUCCUCCCACUUACUUCUUUCGAGAGAAACUCUUUCUCUAGAAAGGACCCAUUCUUGGCAAUAAAGAUCUUGCCUUCGGAUCUGAGGUAGAAGGUGUACCCAAUAGUUUCUUUUGGGUAUCCUAUGAAGACGCAUUUUUUCGACUUGGGUUCGAGCUUUUCAGGUUGAAGUUUCUUGACAUAAGCAUCGCAUCCCCAAACUUUUAGAAACGACAGCUUAGGUUUCUUCCCAAACCAUAAUUCAUACGGUGUCGUCUCAACGGAUUUCGACGGAGCCCUAUUUAAAGUGAAUGCGGCAGUCUCUAAAGCAUAGCCCCAGAAGGAUAGCGGUAAAUCGGUAAGAGACAUCAUAGAUCGCACCAUAUCUAAUAGAGUGCGAUUACGACGUUCGGACACACCAUUACGCUGAGGUGUUCCAGGCGGCGUGAGUUGUGAAACUAUUCCACAUUUUCUUAAGUGCGUGCCAAACUCGUGACUCAAGUAUUCUCCUGCACGAUCUGAUCGUAGAAACUUGAUUUUCCUGUCAUGUUGAUUUUCAACCUCACUCUGAAAUUCCUUGAACUUUUCAAAGGUUUCAGACUUGUGUUUCAUUAAGUAGAUAUACCCAUACCUACUUAAAUCAUCAGUGAGGGUGAGAACAUAACGAUAGCCACCGCGAGCCUCAACACUCAUUGGACCGCACACAUCAGUAUGUAUGAUUUCCAAUAAGUCGGUUGCUCGCUCCAUUGUUCCUGAGAAUGGAGUCUUGGUCAUUUUACCCAUAAGGCAUGGUUCGCAUGUGUAAAAUGAUUCAUAAUCAAGAGACUCUAAAAGUCCAUCAGCAUGGAGCUUCUUCAUGCGUUUGACACCUAUGUGACCAAGGCGGCAGUGCCACAGGUAUGUGGGACUAUCAUUAUCAACCUUACUUCUUUUGGUACUCACAUUAUGAACAUGUGUAGCAUCACGUUCGAGAUUCAUAAAGAAUAAACCAUUCACCAUAGGAGCAUGACCAUAAAACAUAUCUCUCAUAAAAAUGGAAGAACCAUUAUUCUCAGAUUUAAAAGAGUAGCCAUCUCGAAUUAAACGAGAUCCCGAUACAAUGUUCAUGCUCAAAGCUGGCACUAAAUAACAAUUAUUAAGGUUUAAAACUAAUCCCGAAGGGAGAUGCAUAGGUAGCGUGCCGACGGCGAUCACAUUGACCUUGGAACCAUUCCCGACGCGCAUCGUCACCUCGUCCUUUGCCAGUUUCCGCUUAUUCCGCAGCCCCUGCUUUGAGUUACAAAUGUGAGCAACUGCACCGGUAUCAAAUACCCAGGAGCUACUACGGGCACUAGUAAGGUACACAUCAAUUACAUGUAUAUCACAUAUACCUUUUGUUUUGCCGGCCUUCUUAUCCGCUAAGUACUUAGGGCAGUUCCGCUUCCAGUGACCGCUUCCCUUGCAAUAAAAGCACUCAGUCUCGGGCUUGGGUCCAUUCUUUGGCUUCUUCCCGGCAGCUUGCUUGCCGGGCGCGGCAACCUCCUUGCCGUCCUUCUUGAAGUUCUUUUUACCCUUGCCUUUCUUGAACUUAGUGGUUUUAUUGACCAUCAACACUUGAUGUUCCUUCCUGACUUCUACCUCUGCUGAUUUCAGCAUAGCAAAUACUUCAGGAAUGGUCUUUUCCAUCCCCUGCAUAUUGAAGUUCAUCACAAAGCUCUUGUAGCUUGGUGGAAGCGACUGGAGGAUUCUGUCAAUGACCGCAUCAUCCGGGAGAUUAACUCCCAGCUGAGUCAAGCGGUUAUGCAACCCAGACAUAGUGAGUAUGUGCUCACUGACAGAACUGUUUUCCUCCAUCUUACAGCUGAAGAAUUUGUCGGAGACUUCAUAUCUCUCGACCCGGGCAUGAGCUUGGAAAACCAUUUUCAGCUCUUCGAACAUCUCAUAUGCUCCAUGUCUCUCAAAACGCUUUUGGAGCCCCGGCUCUAGGCUGUAAAGCAUGCCGCACUGAACGAGGGAGUAGUCAUCGAAACGUGCCUGCCAAGCGUUCAUAACAUCUUGUUCUGCAAGGAGAACGGGUGCGUCACCAAGUGGUGCUUGUAGGACAUAAUCUUUCUUGGCAGCUAUGAGGAUGAUCCUCAGGUUCCGGACCCAGUCUGUAUAGUUGCUGCCAUCGUCCUUCAGCUUGGUUUUCUCUAGGAACGCGUUGAAGUUGAGGACUACGUUGGCCAUUUGAUCUACAAGACAUAUUGCAAAGAUUUUAGACUAAGUUCAUGAUAAUUAAGUUCAACUAAUCAAACUAUUAGUGAACUCCCACUUAGAUUAGACAUCCCUCCAGUCAUCUAAGUAUUACAUGAUCCGAGUUUAACUAGACCGUGUCCGAUCAUCACGUGAGACGGACUAGUCAACGUCGGUGAACAUCUUCAUGUUGAUCGUAUCUACUAUACGACUCAUGCUCGACCUUUCGGUCUUCUGUGUUCCGAGGCCAUGUCUGUACAUGCUAGGCUCGUCAAGCCAACCUAAGUGUUUGCAUGUGUAAAUCUGUCUUACACCCGUUGUAUGUGAACGUCUGAAUAAAACACCCGAUCAUCACGUGGUGUUUUGAAACAGCGAACUGUCGCAACGGUGCACAGUUAGGGGGAACACUUCUUGAAAUUAUUGUGAGGGAUCAUCUUAUUUACUACCGUCGUUCUAAGUAAACAAGAUGCAAAACAUGAUAAACAUCACAUGCAAUCAAAUAAUAAACAUGACAUGAUAUGGCCAAUAUCACAUAGCUCCUUUGAUCUCCAUCUUGGGGCUCCAUGAUCAUCUUGUCACCGGCUUGACACCAUGAUCUCCAUCAUCAUGAUCUCCAUCAUCGUGUCUCCAUGAAGUUGCUCGCCAACUAUUACUUCUACUACUAUGGCUAACGCGUUUAGCGAUAAAGUAAAGUAAUUUACAUGGCGUUUCUUGAUGACACGCAGGUCAUAUAAAAGAAUAAAGACAACUCCUAUGGCUCCUGCCGGUUGUCAUACUCAUCGACAUGCAAGUCGUGAUUCCUAUUACAAUAGCAUGAACAUCUCAUACAUCACAUAUAGAUCAUUCAUCAUUCAUCACAACUUUGGCCAUAUCAUAUCACAAACCACUUGCUGCAAAAACAAGUUAGACGUCCUCUAAUUGUUGUUGCAAGUUUUACGUGGCUGAAUUAGGGUUCUAGCAAGAACGUUUUCUUACCUACGUUAAAGCCACAGCGUGAUUUGUCAACUUCUAUUUACCCUUCAUAAGGACCCUGUUCAUCGAUUCCGCUCCAACUAAAGUAGGAGAGACAGACACCCGCCAGCCACCUUAUGCAACUAGUGCAUGUUAGUCGGUGGAACCGGUCUCACGUAAGCGUACGUGUAAGGUUGGUCCGGGCCGCUUCAUCCCACAAUACCGCUGAAGCAAGAAAGGACUAGUAACGGCAAGAAAGUUGACAAAUCUACGCCCACAACAAAUUGUGUUCUACUCGCGCAAGAAGAACUACGCAUAGACCUAGCUCAUGAUGCCACUGAUGGGGAACGUUGCAGAAAACAAAAAUUUUCCUACUCGUUUCACCAAGAUCAUCUAGGAGUUCAUCUAGCAACGAGUGAUUAGAUGCAUCUACAUACCUUUGUAGAUCGCGCACGGAAGCGUUCAAAAGAACGGUGAUGAUGUAGUCGUAAUCGACGUGAUCCAAAUCACCGAUGACCAGCGCCGAACGGACGGCACCUCCGCGUUCAACACACGUACGGGACGGGAGACGUCUCCUCCUUCUUGAUCCAGCAAGGGGAAAGGAGAGGUUGAUGAAGAUCCAGCAGCACGACGGCGUGGUGGUGGAUGCAGGGCGUCACAGCAGCAGGGCUUCGCCGAGACUACGAGGGAGAGACGUAACGGGGGGGAGAUGGAGGCGCCAGGGGCUGGUCUAAAAUCCCUCCUCUCCCCCCCACUAUAUAUAGGGGUGCCAAGGGGGGGGGGCGCCGGCCCUAGUAGAUGGCAUCUACUAGGGGGGGCGGCGGCCAAGGGGAGGUUUCCCUCCCCCCCAAGGCACCUAGGGGUGCCUUCCACCACAUGGACUCUUCCAUGGUGGAAACCCUAGGCGCAUGGGCCUAUAGGGGCUGGUGCCCUUGGCCCAUCUAGGCCAAGGCGCACCCCCUACAGCCCAUGUGGCCCCCCGGGACAGGUGGCCCCACCCGGUGGACCCCCGGGACCCUUCCGGUGGUCCCGGUACAAUACCGAUAACCCCGAAACUUGUCUCGAUGCCCGAAAUAGCACUUCAUAUAUAUAAUUCUUUACCUCCGGACCAUUCCGGAACUCCUCGUGACGUCCGGGAUCUCAUCCGGGACUCCGAACAACAUUCGGGUUUCUGCAUAUACAUAUCUUCAUAACCCUAGCGUCACCGAACCUUAAGUGUGUAGACCCUACGGGUUCGGGAGACAAGCAGACAUGACCGAGACGACUCUCCGGUCAAUAACCAACAACGGGAUCUGGAUACCCAUGUUGGCUCCCACAUGCUCCACGAUGAUCUCAUCGGAUGAACCACGAUGUCGAGGAUUUAAUCAAUCCCGUACGCUAUUCCCUUUGUCUAUCGAUAUGUUACUUGCCCGAGAUUCGAUCGUCGGUAUCCCAAUACCUCGUUCAAUCUCGUUACCGGCAAGUCACUUUACUCGUACCGUAAUGCAUGAUCCCGUGACCAGACACUUGGUCACUUUGAGCUCAUUAUGAUGAUGCAUUACCGAGUGGGCCCAGUGAUACCUCUCCGUCAUACGGAGUGACAAAUCCCAGUCUUGAUCCAUGUCACCCAACAGACACUUUCGGAGAUACCCGUAGUCUACCUUUAUAGUCACCCAGUUACGUUGUGACGUUUGGCAUACCGAAAGCACUCCUACGGUAUCCGGGAGUUACAUGAUCUCAUGGUCUAAGGAAAAGAUACUUUGACAUUGGAAAACUCUAGCAAACGAACUAUACGAUCUUGUGCUAUGUUUAGGAUUGGGUCUUGUCCAUCACAUCAUUCUCCCAAUGAUGUGAUCUCGUUAUCAAUGACAUCCAGUGUCCAUAGUCAGGAAACCAUGACUAUCUGUUGAUCAACGAGCUAGUCAACUAGAGGCUUACUAGGGACAUGUUGGUGUCUGUUAUUCACACAUGUAUUACGAUUUCCGGAUAACACAAUUAUAGCAUGAAUAAAGACAAUUAUCAUGAACAAGGAAAUAUAAUAAUAAUGCUUUUAUUAUUGCCUCUAGGGCAUAUUUCCAACAAAAACUUCGACUGUUGUUCGUAAGAGUAAUACUAGGACUUAUACACCUCCUGAGCAAAUUAAUGUUGAACCUAGUAUUGCUAUGGUUAAAGAUCUCUUGGAUGAGGAUUUAGAUGGGCAUGUUAUUUCUUUCUUGGGUGAGACUGCCAAUAUUGUUAGACCUGAUACUAAGACACGUAGACCUGUCGUAGGCAUGCCUGUUAUUUCUGUUAAAAUAGGAGAUCAUUGUUAUCAUGGCUUAUGUGAUAUGGGUGCUAGUGCUAGUGCGAUAUCUUAUGAUCUUUAUAAAGAAAUUAUGCAUGGCAUUGCACCCGUUGAACUAGAAGACAUUGAUGUUACUAUUAAGCUUGCUAAUAGGGAUACCAUUAAACCUAUUGGGAUUGUUAGAGAUGUUGAAGUUUUGUGUGGGAAGGUUAAAUACCCUGCUGAUUUUCUUGUUCUUGGUUCCCCACAAGAUGAUUUUUGUCCCAUUAUUUUUGGUAGACCCUUCUUGAAUACAACUUGUGCUAAGAUUAAUUGUGAAAAGAAUAUUGUCACUGUUGGCAUUGAUGUUAUGUCUCAUGAGUUUAAUUUCGCUAAGUUUAGUAGACAACCUCGUGAAAGGGAACCACUUAGUAAGGAUGAAAUUAUUGGUCUUGCUUCCAUUGUUGUUCCUCCAACCGAUCCGUUAGAACAAUAUUUGCUAGACCAUGAAAACGAUAUGUUUAUGAAGGAAAGGAAGGAAAUAGAUGAAGUGUUCCUUAAACAGGAACCUGUGCUGAAACAUAACCUUUCCCUUGAAAUUCUUGGGGAUCCCCCUCCACCCAAGGGUGAUCCCGUGUUUGAACUCAAACCAUUACUUGAUAAUCUUAAGUAUGCUUAUCUUGAUGAAAAAGAAAUAUAUCCUGUUAUUAUUAGUGCUAACCUUUCAGAGAAAGAAGAAGAAAGAUUAUUGAAAACUCUGAAGGAGCACCGAGCAGCUAUUGGAUAUACUCUGGAUGAUCUUAAGGGCGUUAGUCCCAUGUUAUGUCAACACAAGAUUACAUUGGAGGACUAUGCCAAACCAGUUAGAGAUCCUCAAAGACGAUUAAAUCCCAAGAUGAAGGAAGUGGUAAGGAAGGAGAUUCUAAAGCUCCUUGAGGCAGGUAUUAUUUAUCCCGUUGCUGAUAGUGAAUGGGUAAGCCAUGUUCAUUGUGUUCCUAAAAAGGGAGGUAUUACCAUUGUUCCUAAUGAUAAAGAUGAAUUGAUCCCACAAAGAAUUAUUACAUGUUAUAGGAUGGUAAUUGAUUUCCCUAAGUUAAAUAAAGCUACUAAGAAAGAUCAUUACCCUUUACCUUUUAUUGAUCAAAUGCUAGAAAGGCUAUCCAAACACACACAUUUUUUCUUUCUAGAUGGUUAUUCUAGUUUCUCUCAGAUACCUGUGUCAGCGGAGGAUCAAUCUAAAACUACUUUUACUUGCCCUUUUGGUACUUUUGCUUAUAGACGUAUGCCUUUUGUUUUAUGUAAUGCACCUUCUACCUUUCAAAGAUGCAUGAUGGCUAUAUUCUCUGAUUUUUGUGAAAAGAUUUGUGAGGUAUUCAUGGAUGACUUUUCCGUUUAUGGAUCCUCUUUUGAUGAUUGUUUGAGCAACCUUGAUCGAGUUUUGUAGAGAUGCAAAGACACUAGUCUUGUCCUGAAUUGGGAAAAGUGUCACUUUAUCGUUAAUGAAGGCAUUGUCUUGGGGCACAAGAUCUCUGAGAGAGGUAUUGAAGUUGAUAAAGCCAAAGUUGAUGCUAUUGAAAAGAUGCCAUGUCCCAAGGACAUAAAAGGUAUAAGAAGUUUCCUUGGCCAUGCCGGUUUUUAUAGGAGGUUCAUUAAGGACUUUUCUAAAAUCUCUAGGCCUCUGACUAAUUUAUUGCAAAAAUAUAUUCCUUUUGUCUUUGAUGAUGAUUGUGUAGAAGCAUUUGAAGUACUUAAGAAAGCUUUGAUCACUGCACCUAUUGUUCAGCCGCCUGAUUGGAAUUUACCUUUUGAAAUUAUGUGCGAUGCUAGUGAUUAUGCUGUAGGUGUUGUUCUAGGGCAAAGAGUUGAUAAGAAAUUGAAUGUUAUCAGUAUGCUAGUAAGACUCUUGAUACUGCCCAGAGAAAUUAUGCUACUACUGAAAAAGAGUUCUUAGCAGUUGUGUUUGCAUGUGAUAAGUUUAGACCUUAUAUUGUUGAGUCCGAAGUUACUAUUCACACUGAUCAUGCCGCUAUUAAAUAUCUUAUGGAAAAGAAAGAUGCUAAGCCUAGGCUCAUUAGAUGGGUUCUCCUGCUCCAAGAAUUUGACUUGCAUAUUAUUGAUAGAAAGGGAGCUGAGAACCCCGUUGCAGAUAACUUGUCUAGGUUAGAGAAUGUUCUUGAUGACCCACUGCCUAUUAAUGAUAGCUUUCCUGAUGAACGAUUAGCGGUCGUCAAUGCUUCUCGUACUGCUCCUUGGUAUGCUAAUUAUGCUAAUUAUAUUGUUGCUAAAUUUAUACCUCCUAGUUUCACAUACCAACAAAAGAAAAAGUUCUUUUAUGAUUUAAGACAUUACUUCUGGGAUGAUCCACACCUUUAUAAAGGAGUAGAUGGUGUUAUUAGAUGUUGUGUGCCUGAGCAUGAACAGGAACAGAUCCUACGUAAGUGUCACUCUGAAUCUUAUGGAGGACACCACGCUGGAGAUAGAACUGCACACAAGGUACUACAAUCUGGUUUUUAUUGGCCUACUCUCUUCAAAGAUGCUCGUAAGUUUGUCUUAUCUUGUGAUGAAUGUCAAAGAAUAGGUAACAUUAGUAGACGUCAAGAAAUGCCUAUGAAUUAUUCUCUUGUUAUUGAACUGUUUGAUGUUUGGGGCUUUGAUUAUAUGGGACCUUUUCCUGCCUCUAAUGGUUAUACACAUAUUUUAGUUGUUGUUGAUUACGUUACUAAGUGGGUAGAAGCUAUUCCAACUAGUAGUGCUGAUCAUAACACUUCUAUUAAAAUGCUUAAGGAAGUUAUUUUUCCGAGGUUUGGAGUCCCCAGAUAUCUUAUGACUGAUGGUGGUUCACAUUUUAUUCAUGGUGCUUUCCGUAAGAUGCUUGCUAAGUAUGAUGUCAAUCAUAUAAUCGCAUCUCCUUAUCAUCCGCAGUCCAGUGGUCAAGUAGAGUUGAGCGAUAGAGAGCUCAAAUUAAUUUUGCAAAAGACUGUGAAUAGAUCUAGAAAGAAUUGGUCCAAAAAACUUGAUGAUGCAUUAUGGGCCUAUAGAACUGCAUACAAAAAUCCUAUGGGUAUGUCUCCUUAUAAGAUGGUUUAUGGAAAAGUGUGUCAUUUACCUCUUGAACUUGAACAUAAGGCAUAUUGGGCUAUUAAAGAGCUCAACUAUGACUUCAAACUUGCCGGUGAGAAGAGGUUGUUUGAUAUUAGCUCACUUGAUGAAUGGAGAACCCAAGCAUAUGAGAAUGCCAAGCUUUUCAAAGAAAAAGUCAAACGCUGGCAUGAUAAGAGGAUACAAAAGCGUGAGUUUAAUGUAGGAGAUUAUGUUUUAUUAUUCAACUCUCAUUUAAGAUUUUUGCAGGAAAACUUCUCUCAAAAUGGGAAGGACCAACAUUAUAUUUCAGGUAAUCCUAUCAAUGUUGAAACUAAUAUUAUUGAAACCAUAACCCCUGAGGAAUACAUAAGGGACACUUUCCAGAAUGUUCCAGACUCCGAAAAGGUAUAGGUAUGUGGCACGGUAAGUAGACCGACUCCAAAACAACUCCAAUGGCAAUUUUUAUCAGUUUUGGAAUAUUUAAGAAUUUUAGGAAGAAAGAAGUAGUCCGAAAGGGACACAAGGCUCCAACGAGAGUGGAGCCCCCCCCCCUGUAGGGCGUGCCCCCUGUCUCAUGGGCACCUCGUGUGCCUCCCGGACUCCAUUUUCUUUCACAUUACGUAUUUUGGUCGGUAAAAAUUCAUUAUAUAUACUCCCGAAGGUUUUGACCACUGUAUCAUGCAAAUAUCCUCUGUUUUCAUUUCGAGCUGUUCCUGUUGCAGAAUAAAGCAAGAUGUCUUCUCAGGAAUCAGUCGGGGAGAGUCGGGUGUCUCACCCAACGCCAGGUCCAGGAGCAAACAGCGAUGCCUAUCACUUUGGACCAUCAACGGAGGAUGAGAUGGAGGCUGAUUUGAAAAAGAUAGAUGCCAUGGAUGAAGAUCAAGAAGUCACCUCUCGUCUCCGAGCAGAAUAUUCAUGAUGGGGGAACUACCUAGCAUGGCUAUUCCAGCUUCGGUCAUCCCUUCCAACUCUAGAUUUCUUUCUUAUGAAAAUAUGAAAAAGAGUUUCACUUGUUCUCCAGAAGCUAUGCAGCAUCCUUGGGUAAAAGGAGCUUUGGCCGUUACGGGCAAGCUCUGUAAAGAAAUUAUGGACCUCAAACAACAAGUCAAUAAGCUCGAGGAGGAGAACCGUAUCCUGAAGGGCAUCAUCACCAAGAAGAUCAUAACACCAACCGUGAAGAAGGAGAAAUAAUCACAUGGGUAUGGGCACUCCCCUUGGCAACUGCCAAGCUUGGGGGAGGUGCCCCGGUAUCGUAUCACCAUCACACUCUUAUCUUUACCACUUUAUUUAGUUCGAUCCUUUUAGUAGUAUCUUGAUCUAGUAGAUUGAAGUUUUGAUGUCAAGUAGUUUGAGUUUUGCAUUGUGAUCUCUUUUUGUAAUCAAGUCCGUGAGCUAUCUAUAAUAAAGAUUAGUGUUGAGUCAAGGGCUUUGCUAUGCUGCUAUGAUCUUGAGAAGUAGAAAGAAUAAAAGAGUUCAUAUUGAUCUUAUGGAUAGUGAUAACUUCACAUAUAGAAAGUAUGAGGCAUAAAAUUUGUUGAGAGUUGAUGAACGUAGCCUUGGUCAUCGUUGCAAUUAAUAGGAAGUGAUAAGGAAAGAGGGGUUCACAUAUAAAUAUAUUAUGUGGGACACCUUUUAUAAUUGGGAGCACUCAUUAUGUAUGACAUGAUAAAAGAGUUGACAUUGGACAAGGAAGACAACGUAAUAGUUUAUGUUUUCCGACAUCUCAGUUAAAGUAUAUUGUCAUUGACCUUCCAAACAUGUCGAGCUUGCCUUUCCCCCUCAUGCUAGCCAAAUUCCUUGCACCAAGUAGAGAUACUACUUGUGCUUCCAAAUAUCCCUAAACCCAGUUUUGCCAUGAGAUACCUACCUAUGGAUUGAGUAAGAUCCUUCAAGUAAGUUAUCAUCGGUACAAGCAAUAAAAAUUGCUCUCUAAACAUGUAUGACUUAUUAGUGCAGAAAAAAUAAGCUUUGUACAAACUUGUUGUGGAAGUAAUAAAAGCGACGGACUGCAUAAUAAAGGUCCACAUACAAGGGGCAAUAUAAAGUGACGUUCUUUUGCAUUAAGAUUUUGUGCAUCAACCCUAAACGCGCAUGACAACCUCUGCUUCCCUCUGCGAAGGGCCUAUCUUUUACUUUAUGUUUUUACUUUAUGCUUGAGUCAAGGUGAUCCUCACCUUUCCCUUUUUCAUUUUAUCCUUUGGCAAGCUCCUCGUGUUUGAAAGAUCAUGAUAUAUAUAUCCAAUUAGAUGUAAGUUAGCAUGGGCUAUUAUUGUUGACAUCACCUAAAGGUGAAUACGUUGGGAGGCAACACAAUAAGCCCCUAUCUUUCUCAACGUCCGGCUGAAACUCUAUAACCACAAGUACUGCAUGAGUGUUAGCAAUUGUAGGAGACUACAAGAUAGUUGAGUAUGUGAGCUUGCUGAAAAGCUCUAUUAUUGACUCUUUCUGAUGUUACGAUAAAUUGCAAUUGCUUUAAUGACUGAGAUUAUAGUUUGUUAGUUCCCAAUGAAGUUUUUGAACCAUACUUGACAUUGUGAAUUGCUUGUUACUUGAGCACAAGAAAUCAUAUGACAAAAUCUAUAUAUGUUGUUGUUAUUAGAAUGAUCAUGAUGCCCUCAUGUCCGUAUUUUAUUUUUAUCGACACCUCUAUCUCUAAACAUGUGGACAUAUUUUUCGAUCUCGGCUUCCGCUUGAGGACAAGCGAGGUCUAAACUUGGGGAGUUGAUACGUCCAUUUUGCAUCAUGCUUUUAUAUCAAUAUUUAUUGCAUUAUGGGCUGUUAUUACACAUUAUAUCUCAAUACUUAUGGCUAUUCUCUCUUAUUUUACAAGGUUUACCAUGAAGAGGGGGAAUGCCGACAGCUGGAAUUCUGGCUGGAAAAGGAGCAAACAUUGGAAACCUAUUCUGCACAGCUCCAAAAGUCCUGAAACUCCACGAAACAACCUUUUGGAAUUAAUAAGAAUUUCUGAGCGAAAGAAAUACACCAGGGACCCACACCCUGUCUAGGAGACAGGAGGGCGCCUCCCCCCUAUAGGGCGCGCCCCCUAUCUCCUGGGCCCCCUGGUGGGCCUCCGGUGUCCAUCUUCUGCUAUAUCAUCACUUUUACCCUGGAAAAAAUUGUGGGCAAGCUUACGGGACGAAACUCCGCCGCCACGAGGCGGAACCUUGGCGGAAUCAAUCUAGGGCUCCGGCGGAGCUGUUCUGUCGGGGACACUUCCCUCCGGGAGGGUGAAAUCAUCACCAACGUCAUCACCAAUGAUCCUCUCAUCGGGAUGCGGUCAAUCUCCAUCAACAUCUUCACCAGCACCAUCUCCUCUCAAAACCCUAGUUCAUCUCUUGUAUCCAAUCUUGUAUCAAAACCACAAAUUGGUACCUGUGGGUUGCUAGUAGUGUUGAUUACUCCUUGUAGUUGAUGCUAAUUGGUUUACUUGGUGGAAGAUCAUAUGUUCAGAUCCUUUAUGCAUAUUAUUACUCCUCUGAUUAUGAACAUGAAUAUGCUUUGUGAGUAGUUAUGUUUGUUCCUGAGGACAUGGGUGAAGUCUUGCUAUUAAUAGUCAUGUGAAUUUGGUAUUCGUUCGAUAUUUUGAUGAGAUGUAUGUUGUCUUUUCCUCUAGUGGUGUUAUGUGAACGUCGACUACAUGACACUUCACAUUUAUUUGGGCCUAGAGGAAGGCAUGGGGAAGUAAUAAGUAGAUGAUGGGUUGCUAGAGUGACAAAAGCUUAGACCCUAGUUUAUGUGUUGCUUCGUUAGGGGCUGAUAUGGAUCCAUAUGUUUAAUGUUGUGGUUAGGUUUACCUUAAUACUUCUUUUGUAGUUGCGGACGCUUGCAAAAGGGGUUAAUCAUAAGUGGGAUGCUUGUCCAAGUUAGGGCAGUACCCAAGUACCGGUCCACCCACAUAUCAAAUUAUCAAAGUACCAAACGUGAAUCAUAUGAACGUGAUGAAAACUAGCUUGACGAUAAUUCCCAUGUGUCCUCGAGAGCUCCUUUAUCAUUAUUAGAAAUUGUCCAGGCUUAUCCUUUGCUACAUAAAGGAUUGGGCCACCUUGCUGCACUUUAUUUACUUUAUUUACUUGUUACUCGUUACUAUUUAUCUUAUCACAAAACUAUCUAUCACCUACAAUUUCAAUGCUUGCAGAGAAAACCUUACUGAAAACCACUUAUCAUUUCCUUAUGCCCCUCGUUGGGUUCGACACUCUUCCUUAUCGAAAUAACUACGAUUGAUCCCCUACACUUGUGGGUCAUCAUGUACACAUGGGGUUUACGAGUUCAGGCCCUUCUCGGUGGAAGUAAUAGCCCUACGUCUCAGUGCCGGAGGCGGUCGAUUGGAUUAUAUGUGUGUGAUGUUACAGGGGGUGCGAACCCUUGUGCUAGAGGAGGGGGUGGCUUAUAUAGAGUACGCCAGGACCCUCACCGUCCUCCAUUCCAAGAGACUUAAUGUACAUAAAGUGGAGGUGUUACUGGUAACGCCAGCCUUAAAUGCUGUGAAUGACCUUAAAGACUACGGCGUGAACGCCUGCCCGUUGCAAUGCUGAGUGACUCCUGGUCUUCGGUAGGUCGAGUGAUUCCUUGGAUGGUCGAGUGACUGUAAGUAGGAGGACUCCCGAGUGACAUGACUGGUCGAGUGGAUUGCACUCGACAUCUUUGACUGGGGGUCUCUUACUACUUCUUGGACUUCUUAUCUUCUAGGGUAGUGACCUUGGGUAGGACGUAUAGGUCAGGCCUAUGACCCUACCCCAGGUUUGUAUCCUCAUCAGUAGCCCCCGAAUGGAUUAAGGUUCGAGUGGAAAGUAGGUUGAAGUUGAACUUGUUCUGAGCUUUGCACCUUCGCGAGUGUUUUCUGCAAGAUGGAAAACUCACGUUGGUACUUCAACACCGACUCAGCUGCCUUGAUCCAUUUUGAGAGUUGUCGACUGAACUUAUGACAUCAUCUGCCGAGUGUUGUAUUAGAGUGCAGGAUCUUUGGCGCGAUUGACUGCUGUGUAUCCCGGAUUUCACGGGAUACGAAAUUUCGGGGAAGCGCGCAGGACAAGGAGCGCCAAAGCGGGCGGAGCGGAUAAACAGUGAUGCCUCAAUUUCUGUGCCGCCUUUUUUGCCAUGUACGUUGCGCGUGACUGUUGUGGGAUUUGACAGGAUAGCCUGGUCCCAUGCGUCAGCCACUCGGAAGCAACCCUUUACAAGGCGACGGGGCCGAGGCGUCUGCACUGUGCACGCCUGUUUCUCCUUCUUCUUCCUCCUCUUCUCCACCGCACCGGGCUCUUCUGCUCUCGAUGCUGCCGCUCCGCCACCAUGGUGAAGGACAAGACGGCGGCGCUGGAGCGUGCAAAGAAGGCGACGGGGGCGGCGAAAGGCAAGAAGCAGAACCGCAGAUCGUCAUCACGCGCGGGGCUGCCGCCAGGCUAGAUCCAGGGCGAUUGGAUCCGGUCUUUGCUCCAACAAGAAAAUCUGGAUGAGCUGGCGGAGUCGGGACUGAUCGCCAAGGUAGCGGCAAGGUUGCCCGAGGGGGAGAUGGAGUCGCAGCCUCGACCGGGUGAGUGCGUACUGCUCGCCACCCACGUCGACCGGGGUUUUUCGCUCCCUCCGCACCCCUUCUUCCGAGGAUUCCUGAAUUUCUUUGGUGCUCAACUGCACCAUUUUUCUCCCAACACCAUCACGUAUCUGGCCACGUUCGUGUCGAUGUGUGAAAACUUUUGGGGGUGUCGACCGCACUGGGGUCUUUUCAAACACAUCUUCACCAUCUGAUCCCAGUCGGUCAAGAAAGAAAAAAGAGUGACUCAAAGACCCAUUUCAUCCAAAUGUGUGGGGGCUUAGGUAUUCAGAAAAGGCAUAGGAGUUCUUUCCCUGCUAUGACUCUCCCUGAAUCGAUUAGAGGCUGGCAGUCGACCUGGUUCUACUGCCAGGACGUCGCAGCUCCAGGUCAGUCGACUGGCCUUCCCCACUUCACAUUCGACCGUGUUCAGACUCCUUCUCCACUCAAAGUGACUGCUGCCGAGAACGUGGAGACGAAGAUGUCGGUGGAGAAAGUGGUCCAACUUAUUAAUGAGGGUGUCACCAGCCUGGACCUGCUGGAAGUGUUCCUCAGUCGACGCAUCUAGCCUCUUCAGGCUCGUGACCAUCCUAUGUGGUUGUACUCUGGACCUGAAGACACCGCUCGGGUCCAUCCAGAGGAAGUGCCGUCCAAGACCGUGGAUAUGUGGUUGAAGAGUAUCAUAGGCAAUCAGGACAACCCUAGAGGAUCCAGGCGAGUCAUCCCCUUCACAGACGACAAUCCGCCCGACAAGGUAUGCUCUUUAUUCCGACUGCCUGGCGUAUAUGUUCCGACCGUACUUGAUGUCGACUGACUUUUACUCGACUUUUUGUCUUGUAGGUUUUCACUGAGAUGUAUUCGAUGCCCAACAGCAAACAAGCUCUGGAGCAGGGCCUGGAGGGAGAGGCCAGCACAGAAGAAAGUGGCGACUGGGAGUCUUCAGAUGAAGAGGAGGAGGAGGAGAGCGAGGAGUCGGACGACAAGGAAGAAGUCGACUCGCCGCCGCGUUCCGAGCGCCGAUCCAAGCAGCAACAUGACCCGGCAGGCGGGCACGGGAAGAACGUGGCUCCGAGUACCCACGCUCAGAAGCGCACUCGGACGUCGACUCCGGAGCCGACGGAGAAGGUCACCAAGCAGCCCAAAGUUGCUCCUCUCAAGGCUCGGAAGACUUUGCCGCAGAUCAAGAUGGACGUCCCUGUUGCUUCGGGGUGAGUAUCUCACUUGUGGUUAUGCAGACCCACUGAAAUUUCUGUUCUGACCAACUGGAUCAUGUAUCUUUCUAUUCCCACCUCUGCUGCUACUGACAUGGACAUCGACAAAGCACCAGGAGACGAGGAGGCCACCUCUCGGGCUGGUAAGUCCGUUCGACCAGGUUUCAUUUAGUCAAGUAGGUCGUCAAUCGGCUGAAUUUCUGAUAUUUCUCCCUUUCUGUAGUUCCGCAAGAGAUCGUCGUGCUCCCUGAUGAAGCAGAAGAAGAAGCGCCUUUACAGGAGAGGAGGAAGAAGAGUGGGAGCUCAAGUAGGAGGAGGCUUGAAGUUCAAGUCCCUCAGUCGACGCCGGCGCUUGAGGCGGUGGUCGAACGUUCCGGAGAACCGGUUCAGACCAAUGUCACAUUCGCCAACCCGCUGACAACUGAUCGUCCGUCGGGAUCGACUGCACAGACUCCUGCCGCUCCAGUGCAUCCCCACGCGUCUGACCCAGUAACAGCUUCGACUGCCUUGGAGCCAUCACUCUUUGUCGCGUAUCAGACCCCGGACGACUCGCCGAGUGCCGCCAGGGAGGCUCUUCGCCAGGUGAACCUUGUCAUGGAGCAGGUGAAGGUGAUGCACGAGGCUAGUCAGGUGGCUUACAACGCCAGCACUGCGCUUCAGACCAAUGUUCAGGUUAGCAAACUCCGACUGAACUUCUGAAUGUUGUUUUAUAUCCGAUCACCCACUGGGGUGUGCCUUUGUUUAGAGUUUAGGAAAUCUUCCACUCCACUCGACUCGAGCUGAGUCUCAGUAAACUAUCUGGAUCAGUGGGGGCACGCCGAGUGCACCCACUGGGUGUAGUCCCCGAGACCACAGUCGACUGUUGUGAGUUGACUAAGGUCUUAGAAUCGACUCUCUCUCUCUCUUUUUUUUGACUCACGCUGGGCAGACCCUGCUGAGUAUUGAUCUGAACCAGUGGGGGUAUGCUAAGUGCACCCACUGGGUGUAGUCCCCGAGACUACUGUUGAAUAUUUGAUUCGGCAGUAGUCUUAAGAGUAAUUUUUGACUGUCACUGUCUCUUAUUUCUGUCGACUGACAUAACUCUCUUGUUGGCUGCAGAGGUCUUGUGAUCUUGGAGCUCGACUUUCGAGUUAAAGAAGAAGCAUAUCAGCGUUGAACUUGAUCUUGAACUCGCAAAGAAGAACCUCAAGACUUCUCAACAAGAGACGGCCAUCAUGGGAGGUAACCAUUUGACUGUCUUGCCUACUUAGUAGCUCGCACCUUCCACUGCUUUUUCUUUCAGUCUCUUUGAACCGAGUGACUUCACACAAGCAGAUGUGCAUAGUGAAAGCCGCCAACUUCAGGCUCGUCUGAAGAGUGUUGUUUCUUUAGAGAGAAUGAAGGAAGCUUUGGAGAAGAAGGACUUGGACCUUGCUGCUGCUCAGAAGGAAGCACGUGAGAAGACAACGCUUGAGGAACAGAAGCUGGCUUCGGUCGGCAAGUUGGAAGAGGAGAACAGGAAGUUGAAGACCGUCAUCUCAGAAGCCAAUCGAGAAGUAGAGCAACUGAAGAAGGACAAGGAGAACCUGACCACUGAAGUUGGAGGCCUCAGAGCCAAGACCGGCAAGUUAGAGUCCUAUCUGGGACAACUUGCCGUGAAACCGGUUCUGAAGGCUGAAGGUAUGGUCAGUCGACUGGUUAAUUGUGUCGAUUGAAGUAUGUUGUAAUAUUGUCGACUCAUUGUUUUUCGCGAUGGAACAGAGCUUUGUUAGGACUUUGAAGCUGAAACCGGACGGGUCGAGACAGGUCUCGACCCCAUCAAUUGUCUCGUGAAAGAUGGAGUUGCAAUGAACUUGCUUCAAUUGGAAUCUCGCUUGGACGAAGUUGUUGACUAUGUGGCUCGACUGAAGGCUGCUAUGACCCGAGUGGACGCCGAACUCUGGCCUCAGGAGGAACUUUCUUAAGACCUCGAGUCACUGAUGACUCGACUCAAUCAGAUUCUUGGCCGAGUGCAAGAGUGGAAGAAGUCAUCUGCUCGUUGUGGUGCUGAUGUCGCCUUGUCAUUGGUUCGAGUGCACUGCAAGGAGGCUAGAGAAGACAAGCUGGCGGCCCUCAAGGUAGUGAAUACUAAGAAGCAUUCCUUCCAGUCCUUCAUGGACACUGUCGGUGUCAAAACCGGCGGAUCUCGGGUAGGGGGUCCCGAAUUGUGCGUCUAGGCGGAUGGUAACAGGAGACAAGGGACACGAUGUUUUACCCAGGUUCGGGCCCUCUUGAUGGAGGUAAAACCCUACAUCCUGCUUGAUUAAUAUUGAUGAUAUGGGUAGUACAAGAGUGGAUCUACCACGAGAUCAAGGAGGCUAAACCCUAAAGCUAGCCUAUGGUAUGAUUGUUGUAAUGUAUGUUGUGUCCUACGGACUAAAGCCCUCCGAUUUAUAUAGACACCGGAGAAGGCUAGGGUUACACAGAGUCGGUUACAAUGGUAGGAGAUCUACAUAUUCGUAUUGCCAAGCUUGCCUUCCACGCCAAGGAAAGUCCCAUCCGGACACGAGACGGAGUCUUCAAUCUUGUAUCUUCAUAGUCUUGGAGUCCGGCGGACGAUGAUAGUCCGGCUGUCCGGACACCCCCUAGUCCAGGACUCCCUCAGUAGCCCCUGAACCAGGCUUCAAUGACGAUAAGUCCGGCGCGCAUAAUGUUCGGCAUUGCAAGGCGGGUUCCUCCCUCGAAUAAUCCAGAGGAGAUCAUGAACACCAGGAUAGUGUCCGGCUCUGCAAAAUAAAUUCCACAUUCCACCGUAGAGAGAAUAAAAUGUACACAAGUCCAAUCUGCUGAUGUAUUAUGCGGCAUGACAUCACACCACUACCAAGCCUCUACUUGAAUCGUUUUUUAUUAUACCACCUCAGCACGUUUAGCGAAGCAGUUUCCUUGGCACGUCCUGUCGAAGCAGAGAUCGUGUUCCCCUUAUUCCGGGAUUCUCAUCAAUACGGACGUGGGUAACCCAACCGCGCCAUUGAUGGUGGCGCUUGGGAGAUAAGAGAGUUCUACCAGGCCGGUGGGGGACACAUAAUCUUCGUCCGCCUAUAUAUAAGGGAUAAGGAUUUACCUUCUCACCUACGCCUUCUUCCUCCUUUGCUUAUCCAUCUCCGCUCACUCAAGCUCCAACGCCCAAGCUCGCGCAUCCCGCCUCGACCUUCUCCGACCAUGUCCGGAGCGGGAGGAAAAUGGUGGGCCUCCACCGUUAAGAAGGAGCACAUCACCAAGCUGCGCAGCGCCGGAUACCUUUCCGACGACAUCGCGCAUCGGCUGCCCGACGAGGGGCAGCUCAUCCCCACCCACGGGCCCCAUGAGAGGGUUGUUUUCCUCCCCCACUUCCUCCGCGGACUGGGCUUUCCACUUCAUCCUUUUGUCCAGGGGCUCAUGUUUAGUACGGUCUGGAUUUCCACGAUCUGGCGCCGAACUUCAUCCUCAACAUCUCGGCGUUUAUCGUCGUGUGCGAGGCCUUCCUCUGCAUCCAGCCCCACUUCGGCCUGUGGCUCAAGACCUUCAACGUCAAGCCGAAGGUUGUGAAGGGCACGCAAGCGGAAUGCGGAGGCGCCAUGUUGGGCAAGUUGCCCAACGUCCUUUGGCUCGAAGGGGCCUUCAUGGACUCCGUUAAGGGGUGGCAAUCGGGGUGGUUUUACAUCACUGAGCCGCGCGAACCUACGUGGGCGGCGGCCCCCGAGUUCAGAUCUGGCAUCCCCACGCAGCUCACCUCUUGGAAAGAGAAGGGCUUGUUGUGAGGCAAUCCGAAGGAGUUGACAGGACUCCGAGCCUGUAUCCAGAAGCUGGUGAACAAUAAGCUCAGGCUCGUCGACGUGGUCCAAGUCAUGCUCAUCCGCCGGAUCCUCCCAUGCCAAGAACGGGCAUUCAAUCUGUGGGAGUUCAAUCCAGAACAGCACCAGGCGCUAAGCGGGCUCUUCAACACGACGUACGAAGGCGCCUGGAGGGUGCUGUUUAAGGGCGCCGAAGCCCCCGCAUCCGCGACGGAAGAUCACGGAUUUCGCUCGCAGCAUCCAGCUGACGAGGUAAGUGAUUCAACCCCUUUACGGGACACUUGUGGUAAAUAGAUUGAUUCUAAGAGGGUUUCAAUCUCUCUUUUCCUUUGGCAGGAAUGGAUGGAGAAGGCCGAGCAGCUCGUCUGUCCGGCUCCCAUGCCAGAAGACCCAGUGAACGCCCGUCUAGCGGGGCUGCUGGUUCCGGCACCGCACGUGGUGCCGGAGAAGAAGGCCAAGAAGGUGGCCACGGGGACUCGAAAGAGUUCCCGUAAUCAGGCGUCCGACGACGAGGCGGACUCCUCCCCCGAAGACGAGGAGGAGGAAGAAGACUCUCUCCCGGAGGAGGGAGAGAGGAAGAGGAAGGCUUCCCCAAUAGGGGAGGCCGAAGGGUCCAAGAGGGGGAGAACUAUUCCCCUGGACAGCUCCGCCAACACCAACGCUGGCGAAGAGGAGUGGCCUUCAAGGGCCAGGCCUCCGGCGAGAUCGUAAGUAUCCGGAUCCCUGUAUAAUCUGAAAUUUCUUUCGUGCCACAUAGUGCCUUUCUAAUGCCGCAUACUGCCUAUAGUCCGGCCGACGAUGAUCUCCCUGCUUCAUCGAGCGGGUCGUUGGCAGCGUCGGAUGUGGAGUCCAUCCCGACUGCCUCCACCCCUCGCGCCGACGAGGACGCCGAGGUGGGAUCCCGGAAAGGGACCCAUCAGGAGGAGGCCCCGGAGGCGCCGCAAGGCAGCCUUUCGGACUAUGCGCCGGAUUCUACUCCGGAACCUGCAGUGGUUCCAGAGUUCGGCAGGCGGCCCCUUCGCAAGAAGGACAAGACCGUGACACCGGCGGCCCCCGUCCAACCGGAGGCGCCGGACAACUUGUUGGAGGCGCUCAAAGGUGCUUCCAUCGAGGAAGAACACCGCACUAUCAUGAGUGCGGUGAUUCAGAAGGUUCAGCUCACCAAGAGCGGGCUGACCGAAGCCUGCAGCAGCCUUCUAACAGGCUUUGAGGUAAGAAGUUAAAAUUAUGUAAUGUAAUACCGCAUAGACACUAGCCCCUGAUGCUCGGUCCGGUGUUCGGAAAGAAAAGCCAGACUGAGGAUCUAAAGAGAUAUACGCAGGGUUGCUUGAAAUAUGUCAAUAUGGGUUUGCAGGCUGCGCUGCUGACCUCUGCCGCACUAACUGCGGAGGUUGGUGCAUUGAAGCAGGAUCUCGAGCGGUCCGAGCAAGAGCUCGGCCAUGCCAAGAAGCAGCUCGAGGACAAAGAAGGUGAGUAACACCACUUUGAAGAUUUACCUUACAGAAAAGGAUUUAGGUUGCAAAAUUUUUUUAACAAGGAUAAUAUGGGUAUUGCAGGGGCCACAAACGAGGUGGCAGCCCUGAAGGAGGCUGUGUCCGCGGCCGAACGCAGUGUGGCCGCGGAACGGGCGAAGCAAGAAAAGUAGGAGGCACAGGUGGCGGAAGUGCGGCAAGAGCUCCAGGCUCUCAUGGAGAAGCAUGAGAGCUUGGAGCGUGACUCCAAGACUCGAGAGUCCGAGCUUGCCUCGGCUCUCGAAAGUGCCAAGUCCGCCAAGGCCGAGGCCCGUAAGGCCCUUCAGGAGGUUGAAGAUGUAAAGAAGAUAGCGGCGGGUAAGGCAUUUUUCAUGCAAAGCAAGCAUGUUAAUGUAAACUACCUGACACUUACCCGCAUUCGGAGCUCUCCAGGGGCGUUUGCAGAUCUGCCGCGUAGUGUGUCCGAUGCCGCCGCAUUCUAUCGUGGCGAGGAGGGGAGCUCGACGGAGAAGGUCUUCUGGUCUCAGUACGCUGAGGCCGGCCAUCCGAUGCCCCCAAGCGACCAACUGAAGCAGCUGGUCGAACUCCACAAGGUAGCUGAGGAGGCCAUGAAGGGCCUUAUAGUCCGACUGUGGCCUGGACAGGCCGUGCCUGGGAGCUACUUCGGCCUCGUGCGGCGGCUAGUGGAUGCGUGCCCCUGGGUGGAGGUCAUCAAGCGCUCCGCCUGUAUUGAAGGUGCUCGUCGGGCCCUUGCCCGCACAAAGGUGCAUUGGGCAGGCUGGAUGCGGAGAAGCUUCUCACUGACCCACCGCCACCGGGCAAGGAGUAUCGUACGCCCGAAAUGUAUUAUAAAACUGUCUUGAAGGGAGCCCGCGAUAUUGCGGAUGAAUGCCCUAGAGAUGUAAUUUUUGAGUAAACUCGCUAUGUAUUAUCCUGUGCGCUGAAAACUUUGUUCAUGUGCGCCUUAAGCAACGCUUGUUUAAUUUAAAAUAUUACCUUCUGUGCGGCCGUUUAUAAAGUCUGAAAGAUGGCAAGUCGUUGGCUUCAGCCCCCGAGCCACAAGUGCUGGGGUGUUCGGGAUAAACUUGAGCACUCUUGUUCCCAUUUUUGGGUCCAUCUAGGGAGGCGCUCAACACAACGAACAAGGCAACCGGACUUAUAAUGCUUGAACACUCUCACUUAGCCAUAGAAUUCUAUAAUUUUAAAUUUCGGUGAAGCCCCUGGUAUUCGGAAGACCGAAUCCGGGGCGCUAUCCACGCCUUCGUCGGACAUUAUCCAGAACUUCGCUCGAAGCGGCGUGAGUCUUUAAGGACCCAAAAAGACCUCUCAAACAGCGACCAGUCUCUCGCCUUAUCAUGCCGGUCAGUUUUAGCUUUCUCCACUGAGGCGCUCGCCCGGCUCAACCGGGGCGCAAUCGCAGUGGUUCUCCCAGUGCCACCUUAGCCGACAGAACGGAACGUAAGGCACCAAAACAUGGGAGCCGGGCAAACCCAACUAUUGACCCAAGACAUGAUUCGGAGCCGAUUCAUAUAAUGCUAUAAGUUCGGGGUGCCGCACUUAUGAAAGUGUUCGGACUUAUAACACCAUAAUGCGGGGAACAUAAGCCCCUGGUGUAUUAGGCCGUACCAAAAUAUACGGGUGCAGGAUGUCAUGUAAUGAACAUAUAUAUGUAUAAAAAGUAAUGUAAUUGCAGUCAAAAAGUGCUGCAUUAUUUAUUAAAGGAAGUCUGCUAUGAGUGCGGACUGAUACAAAUAGUGCGGUAAGCAAGGGAUUUGGACUAAUUAAACAUGUCCCCCUCCAGGGAUGAGCUUCGGACUUGGUGUAUAUAAUCGAAUUUAAUGCUCGUAAUUGAGACCACCUAAGUGUUCAUCGCAGCCUUCUUUCUUCCCUGGCUGUUGCAUCGUGAGUUCGGCAGGUUCACCGCCGGACAGGGCCUCUGGUUAAUGGAGUCAUGUGUAUACAAAGAAGGAAAAUAAUAAUAAAAAAGAGUGGGACACUUGCGAGCCCCUGGUGUGGUCGAGCCGCACUCUAGGUCCAUUGUGGUCGUGCCCCUUCCCCUGCGCCCAUGGUAUCUCCAAAGCGUAAUGAUGUACGCGGAGGGUUGUUCUUGCAAUCAUGCGAGGGUGGGGGUUAGGGCCGCAUUGCUACGCGUGCUCUGAUCGUGCCAGGUGGUAUUGGUUGGUAUUGCUUCGGGCGCGUUUUGCUGUAUCCGGCCGUUUAACGGCCAGACUCGAAAAUUGCCUUAGAAGGCUGCUCUGUACUUCUGCCGCGAGAGCCGCUGUAUGUUCCUCCGUUCGGAGGGAGCGUUCCGUAUUUCCGUUGACCGUGAUGACUCCACUAGGGCCUGGCAUCUUGAGCUUGAGGUAUGCAUAAUGCGGCACCGCGUUGAACUUUGCAAACACGGUUCGUCCGAGCAGAGCGUGAUAGCCGCUGCGGAACGGGACUAUGUCGAAGAUUAACUCCUCGCUCCGAAAAUUGUUUGGGGAUCCGAAGACCACUUCCAGUGUGACUGAGCCUGUACAAUUGGCUUCCACACCUGGUAUGACACCUUUAAAGGUUGUCUUUGUAGGUUUAAUCCUUGAGGGGUCUAUGCCCAUCUUGCGCACUGUAUCCUGAUAAAGCAGGUUCAGGCUACUGCCGCCGUCCAUCAGGACUCUCGUGAGGUGAAAUCCCUCGACGAUUGGGUCUAAAACCAAUGCGGCAAAUCCGCCAUGGCGUAUGCUGGUCGGAUGGUCUCUUCGAUCGAAAGUGAUCGGACAAGAAGACCAUGGAUUGAACUUCGGGGCGACUGGCUCCAUCGCAUAGACGUCCCUUAGUGCACGCUUCCGCUCCCUCUUGGGUAUAUGGGUUGCGUAAAUCAUGUUCACCGUUCGCACUUGUGGGGGGAAACCCUUCUGUCCUCUAUUGUUCGGCGGCCGGGUCUCUUCCUCGUCGUCGCUGUUUAGCCCCUUGUCAUUGUUUUCGGCAAUUAACUUGCCUGCCUGUUUGAACACCCAACAAUCUCUGUUGGUGUGAUUAGCUGGCUUUUCAGGGGUGCCAUGUAUCUGGCAUAAGCGGUCGAGUAUUCGGUCCAAGUUGGACGGACCCGGAGUGGUUCUUUUGAAUGGCUUCUUCCGCUGACCGGGUUUAGAGCCUCGGAAUCCGGCGUUGACUGUCGUAUCCUCCUUAUCGUCGCCGUUAAUGCGGCGUUUAUUUUUGCUUCGACGUGACCUGUCGUUGUGGUCCUUAGUAUCCGGACUGCCAGAAUUUUUAUUGAGGUUGUUGCUGCGAGCUAGCCAGCUAUCCUCUCCCGCGCAAAAGCGGGUCAUUAAUGAUGUGAGGGCUGCCAUGGAUUUCGGCUUUUCCUGUCCCAGGUGCCGGGCUAGCCACUCGUCGCGGAUGUUAUGUUUGAAGGCUGCGAGGGCCUCUGCAUCCGGACAGUCGAUGAUUUGGUUUUUCUUUGUCAAGAACCGUGUCCAGAAUUGUCUGGCCGAUUCCUCUGGCUGCUGAAUUAUGUGGCUUAGGUCAUCGGCGUCUGGUGGCCGCACAUACGUGCCCUGGAAAUUGUCGAGGAAUGCGGCUUCCAGGUCUUCCCAACACCCAAUUGACUCUGCGGGCAAGCUGUUAAACCAAUGUCGCGCUGGUCCUUUAAGCUUGAGUGGGAGAUAUUUGAUGGCAUGGAGAUCGUCGCCGCGGGCCAUAUGGAUGUGAAGGAGAUAAUCUUCGAUCCAAACCGCGGGGUCUGUUGUGCCAUCGUAGGAUUCGAUGUUUACGGGUUUAAACCCUUCAGGGAUUUGAUGAUCCAUUACUUCGUCGGUGAAGCAUAGCGGGUGUGCGGCGCCUCUAUAUUGAGCAAUAUCACGACGCAGCUCGAGAGAGCGUUGUCUGCUGUGUUCGGUCCGGCCGGGGUUAUUGUAUCCGGCGCGACGAUAUUCGUCAUGGGUCGUGGGGCGCCCACGUGAUCCGUAGAUGGAUCUGGAUUGCCUUGCUUUGUCCUCCAAUACAUCUCGCAGGUCCGGCGCGUUCCCUCUUGGCUUCGUACUUUUGGAGCGAUGCCGGGGUACGGUCUUGGUUGAGGGCCUGGAUGCCUCUCCGUCACGACCACGGGGUGGUCGGUCAGCCGUAUCGUGCGCUGGUGAUGAAGGUAUGUAUGCUUCUUCCUCUAAUCGGGGGAGCAACUUGCGUCUUGGGUAGCUUUUGGAGGGGCGUUCGAGUUUAAACUCUUCGGCCACGAGGACCUCGGUCCAUCGAUCGGCCAGCAGGUCCUGGUCAUCUUGAAGCUGCUGCUGCUUUUUCUUUAGGCUAUUUGCCAUGGCGAUAAGCCUGCGUUUGAAAUGCUCUUGUUCGACGGGAUCCUCGGGCACGACGAAUUCGUCGUUGUUGAGGCUUGCCUUGUCUUCGGAGGGAGGUAUAUAGUUAUAAUCCUCGACCUCUUCGUCUGCCGCCCUCUCGUGAGGGCUUGCUUCUGCAUCCUCCUGCGCUGAGUCUUGCUGGAGGGGAUUAUCUUCGGCACUCUUUGGGGUAUUAUUAUCUCCUGUGCCGGAAUCUCCAUUCUUGCUGUGGCGGGAUUUAGAGCGGCGCCGCUGACGCCGGCGCUUGGGCUGUUUCUUUAAGGAAUCUGCCUCCGCUGCUUCUUCGCCGUCCCCGUCUUUUGGGGUGUCCACCAUGUAUAUGUCGUAUGACGAGGUGGUUUUCCAGUGCCCUGUAGGCGCUGGUUCCUGUUCGUCUCCGGCAUCGUCGUCCAUAGCGUCGAUGUCUUCGGAGUCGUAGUCUAGCAUGUCGGUAAGAUCGUCGACAGUGGCUACAAAGUGGGUGGUGGGUGGGCUCUGAAUUUCUUCGUCGUCCGUAUCCCAACCAUCCUGGCCAUAAUCCGGCCAGGACUCUCCAGAUAACGAGAGAUGCUUUAGCGAAUUUAGGAUAUCGCCAAAGGGUGAGUAUUGGAAGAUGUCUGCGGCGGUGAACUCCAUGACCGGUGCCCAAUCAGAUUCGAUUGGCAGGGGCGUGGGAGGUUCGGAGUCCGGCAGGGAGUCCGGCACCUCGGAGUCACGAGCUUUGCAAGGGACAAGGUUAGUGUUCGGCUCCAUCGCCGUGGAAGUUGGAGCCCCCGAGGCGGUGUCCAACCACCGGUCCUCGAUCUGGGCGAUCGGCUCCGGUCUAAGGGCCGGAGCGGAUUCUUGUGCGGCCACCAAGGCACUGUUCGGCGGCAGAGCUAGAUCGUGCCCAUCGUAACAGUGUGGCGCGCUUGGCUGUGGCUCGAGCCCGUCGAAGAUCAAGUCUCCGCGGACGUCGGCCGUGAAGUUUAGGCUUCCGAAUCUGACCUGAUGGCCAGGGGCAUAGCUUUCGAUCUGCUCCAGAUGGCCAAGUGAAUUAGCCCGCAGUGCGAAGCCGCCGAAUAAGAAGAUCUGUCCGGGGAGAAAAGUCUCGCCCUGGGCAGCGUUGUUGAUUGAAGACGCCAUCGAGCCUAUCGGUGACGACACAGAGGAACUCUCAAUGAAAGCACCAAUGUCGGUGUCAAAACUGGCGGAUCUCGGGUAGGGGGUCCCGAACUGUGCGUCUAGGCGGAUGGUAACAGGAGACAAGGGACACGAUGUUUUACCCAGGUUCGGGCCCUCUUGAUGGAGGUAAAACCCUACGUCCUGCUUGAUUAAUAUUGAUGAUAUGGGUAGUACAAGAGUGGAUCUACCACGAGAUCAAGGAGGCUAAACCUAAAGCUAGCCUAUGGUAUGAUUGUUGUAAUGUAUGUUGUGUCCUACGGACUAAAGCCCUCCGGUUUAUAUAGACACCGGAGAAGGCUAGGGUUACACAGAGUCGGUUACAAUGGUAGGAGAUCUACAUAACCGUAUUGCCAAGCUUGCCUUCCACGCCAAGGAAAGUCCCAUCCGGACACGGGACGGAGUCUUCAAUCUUGUAUCUUCGUAGUCUUGGAGUCCGGCGAAUGAUGAUAGUCCGGCUGUCCGAACACCCCCUAGUACAGGACUCCAUCAGACACCUUCCUUGAGGGAGCCACUCGUAUUGCCGACAGCAUCGACCUUGACAGCUUCUGCGAUCCAGCCAGUCCUUCUCCCGCCGAGUGACUGAAAAACAUUAUGCUUCACCCUCAUUUGCCUCGGAAUGUCGAGUGAUUUUGUAAUCGUUAAAACUCCUUCAGGCCUGACGCCCGAGUACUUUAAUCUGCGGUUAGGAACCUUUGGACUUAUCUUUGAAUAUGUCGUGUUUAUCUUCGAGUGAUUUUGUUCUUCUCUCGGAUUGCUUUUUGUUCGUUUGAUGCAGCUUCCGUAGAAGAAUCCGCAGUCGACCUGUUGGACGUGCCUUGAACAGUAUUGAUCAGCUCAUCAGCAAGGCACUCAGCAAUGGUCUUGACGUUCCUGUCAUCAGUUUGCCUUGGCACCAACCGUUGGAUGGUCCUUUUGACAGUGCUCACAAUCUCGUNNNNNNNNNNNNNNNNNNNNNNNNNNNNNNNNNNNNNNNNNNNNNNNNNNNNNNNNNNNNNNNNNNNNNNNNNNNNNNNNNNNNNNNNNNNNNNNNNNNNNNNNNNNNNNNNNNNNNNNNNNNNNNNNNNNNNNNNNNNNNNNNNNNNNNNNNNNNNNNNNNNNNNNNNNNNNNNNNNGACCCGCACCACCUGGCGGGAAUGGUCAGCUUAUCAGCGAGGCAUUCAACAAUGGUCUUGACGUUCCUGAAAGUGGCUCGCCUUGGCAACACGCUCAAUCUCGUCCUUCUUCUUGAUGGUUCAACUCUGAGGUGGGGGUCGUGGUCGACCCGCACUUUGCUGUCCUUGUGGAUUUAGAUGGAGCGUAUGGCUAAGUCCUCGAGCGAGACGAUCAGUUUUCACUCGAAAUGAUUUUAUAAACUUAGGCGAGUACUAGACUGCAGCUAAGCCCCCGAGUGGGAGGACUGCUCACCACUCGGUAGGAUUUUUCAAACUUAGGCGAGUACUAGACUGCAGCUAAGCCCUCGAGUGGGAGGAUUGCUCACCACUCGGUAGGACUUUUCAAACUUAGGCGAGUACUGGACUGCAGCUAAGCCCCCGAGUGGGAGGAUUGCUCACCACUCGGUAGGAUUUUUUAAACUUAGGCAAGUACUGGACUGCAGCUAAGCCCCCGAGUGGGAGGAUUGCUCACCACUCAGUAGGAUUUUUCAAACUUANNNNNNNNNNNNNNNNNNNNNNNNNNNNNNNNNNNNNNNNNNNNNNNNNNNNNNNNNNNNNNNNNNNNNNNNNNNNNNNNNNNNNNNNNNNNNNNNNUCACCACUCGGUAGGAUUUUUCAAACUUAGGCGAGUGCUGGACUGCAGCUAAGCCCAUGAGUGGGAGGAUUGCUCUCACAAUCUCGUCCUUCUUCUUGACGGUGCAGCCCCGGGGGGAGGUCGUGGUCGACCCGUACCGUUUGGUAGGACCUUUUAAACUUAGGCGAGUACUGGACUGCAGCUAAGCCCCCGAGUGAGAGGCUGGCUCACCACUCUGUAGGAUUUUUUAACACUUAGGCGAGUACUGGACUGCAUCUAAGCCCCCCGAGUGAGUGACUCGUUCACCACUCGGUAGGAUUUUUGUACUUAGGCGAGUACUGGACUACAGCUAAGCCCCCGAGUGAGAGGCUGGCUCACCACUCGGUAGGAUUUUUUAACACUUAGGCGAAACGGAUUCGCAGCUAAGCCUCCGAGUGAGAGGCUGGCUCGCCACUCGGUAGGAUUUUUAACACUUAGGCGAAACGGAUUCGCAGCUAAGCCUCCGAGUGAGAGGCUGUCUCGCCACUCGGUAGGAUUUUUAACACUAAGGCGAAAUGGAUUUGCAACUAAGCCUCCGAGUGAGAGGCUGGCUCGCCACUCAGUAGGAUUUUUAACACUUAGGCGAAACGGAUUCGCAACUAAGCCUCCGAGUGAGAGUCUGGCUCGCCACUCGGUAGGAUUUUUAACACUUAGGCGAAACGGAUUCGCAACUAAGGCACCCACUGGGUGUACACCCAGUGGGGUAUUUUAGAACAUGUAAAAAAUGAACAACAAUCAUUCCGAAGACUGUAAAAUCAUGUCUUUUGAUAAAAAGGUACUUCUUAUUACAUCUCAACAGUCUAAAUACUUUAAGAGUAAAAGGGGCAGAGCAGUUCCGCAUUCCAGGCGCGUGGCUCAUCUUUAUUGUGCUCGACGUUGAAAAGACGAUAUGCUCCGUUGUGGAGCACUUUGGUGACGACGAAAGGGCCCUCCCAAGCAGGAGCGAGCUUGUGCGUUUUCUGCUGGUCCACUUGAAGAACUAAGUCCCCUUCCUGAAAUGCCCGACCCCUUACAUUUUUGGCGUGGAAUCGACGCAGGUCUUGUUGAUAAAUGGUCGACUGGAUCGAGGCCAUCUCUCUUUCUUCUUCCAAGAGAUCGACUACGUCUUGCCGAGCUUGUUCUACUUCUUCUUCUGAGAAGAGCUCGACUUAGGGUUUAUUGUGGAGCAGAUCACUCGGGAGUACGGCUUCAGCUCCGUAGACUAAGAAGAAUGGAGUUCGUCCAGUCGACCGAUUAAGAGUUGUCCUCAAUCCCCAAAGUACUAAUGGAAGUUCAUCGACCUAGGCCCCUGCUUCAUGCUUGAGGUCACACAUCAACCAGGGUUUCAGUCCUUUGAGAAUCAAUCCAUUUGCUCUCUCAGCCUGCCCAUUAUACUGAGGAUGGGCAACCAAAGCGUAGUCGACCCUCGUGCCUUGGGAAGCACAAAAGGCUCUGAAUUCGUCAGAGUCAAAGUUCGACCCGUUAUCCGUGAUGAUGUUGUGCGGAACACCAUAUCUGAAUAUCAAUUCUCUGAUAAAACUUACAGUUGUACUUGCUUCAAGGUUUUUCAUGGGUUUGGCUUCGAUCCAUUUGGUAAACUUGUCGACUACCACCAGCACAUGGGUAAAUCCACUCCUGCCAGUCCUUAGAGGUCCAACCAUGUCCAAUCCCCAGACAAUGAAAGGCCAGAUGAGUGGAAUAGUCUUCAGAGCUGACGCAGGUUUAUGGGACAUGUUGGAGUAAAACUGACAGCCUUCACACUUGUCCACUAUUUCUUUUGCCAUCUCAUUGGCACGUGGCCAGUAAAAUCCGGCUCGUUAUGCUUUGGCCACGAUGGUCCGAGAGGACGCAUGGUGAUCAUAGGUCCCCGAGUGAAUAUCAUUGAGGAUCAUUCGGCCUUCUUCUGGCGUGAUGCACUUCUGGCAGACUCCAGUUACACUUUCUCUGAACAACUGACCUUUUAUCACGGUAAAGGCUUUAGAUCGUCAAACGAUCUGUCGAGCCUCUUCUUCAUCCUCUGGAAGUUCUUUCCUAAGAAUGUAUGCAAUGUACGGCACUGUCCAGUCGGGAGUGAUGACCAAAACCUCUAUGACUAAGUCGACCAAGGCUGGGAUUUCGACUUCAGUCGGAUCUAUGGCGCUCUUGGGCUGUGGGGGCUCUUCAGUGAAAGGAUCUUCCCAAACUGAAGGUGAAUGAAUAUGUUCCAAAAACACAUUGCUGGGUAUGGCAUCUCUCUUUGAACCUAUCUUUGUCAACUCAUCUGCAGCUUGAUUUUUCAGUUGGGGUAUAUGGUGAAGCUCCAACCCUUCAAACUUCUUUUCCAGCUUUCUUACUGCAUUGCAAUAGCCAGUCAUGGCUGGGCUCCUGACAUCCCACUCUUUCAACACUUGAUUAAUCACCAGAUUUGAGUUGUCGUAGACCAUAAGGCGACGGACGCCGAGUGAAAUGGCCAUACGUAACCCGUAUAAAAGUGCUUCAUAUUCAGCUUCAUUAUUGUAGGAAUCAAAAUGAAUCUGGAGAACAUAGCUAAGCUUGUCUCCACGGGGAGAUACCAAAACUACCCCAGCACCUGAACCAUUCAGCAUCUUGGAGGCAUCGAAGAACAUAGUCCAAUGCUCCGAGUGAACUUGAGUCGGCAAUUGCUGCUCAAUCCACUCGGCAAGGAAAUCUGCGAUUGCUUGGGACUUGAUAGCUUUCUUUGCCUCAAACUUGAUAUCCAAUGGGAGGAGUUCAAUCACCCAUUUUGCCACUCGACCAGUUGCAUCUCUAUUGUUCAGAAUUUCAGAUAGUGGUGUGUCGCUGACGACUGUAAUGGAGUGAUCAGAGAAGUAAUGUGCAACCUUCUUCAUGGUCAUGUAGAUUCCAUAGACAAGCUUCUGAUAGUGUGGAUAUCGUUGCUUGGAUGGAGUCAAACCUUCAGAGAGAUAAUAUACUAGGCGCUGAACCUUGUAAGCCUUUCCUUCUUCUUCUCUCUCAACCGUGAGUACCGUACUGACAACUUGUCCAGUGGCUACAAUGUAAAGCAGUAAAGGCUCUUUGCUGAUUGGCACAACGAGCACCGACUGGGUGGAGAGCAGGGUUUUGAGCUCUACAAAUGCUGCAUCAGCUUCUUCAGUCCACUCGAACUUAUCAGAUUUCUUCAUCAAUCGGUAAAGAGGUAAGGCCUUUCCAUCGAGAUGAGAAAUGAAUCGACUCAAGGCGGCCAAACAACCAGUCAGCUUCUGAACGUCAUGCACACGCACAGGGCGUUUCAUUCGGAGGAUGGUAUCAACUUUUUCUGGAUUGGCAACAAUCCCUCGUUCGAAAACGAGAAAACCGAGUAACUUUCCACCUGGAACUCCGAAUGUGCACUUUGACGGAUUAAGCUUGAUAUCGUACCUUCUUAGGUUGGCAAAGGUUUCUGCGAGGUCAGUCACUAGGUCGGAACCUUUGCGAGACUUGAUCACAAUGUCAUCCAUGUAUGCUUCCACAUUCCGACUGAUUUGAGUGAACAUGCACUUCUGAAUCAUUCUCAUGAAUGUGGCUCCGGCAUUUUUAAGACCAAAUGGCAUGGUGACAUAACAAAAGCACACGAAUGGGGUGAUGAAGGCUGUUUUUAUUUCGUCGGGACCAUACAGUCGGAUCUGAUGAUACCCGGAAUAUGCAUCUAAAAAAGACAAGCGUUCACACCCCACCGUCGAGUCAACAAUCUGAUCGAUGCGGGGGAGAGGGAAAUGAUCUUUCGGGCAGGCCUGAUUGAUAUGCUUGAAAUCAAUGCACAUAUAAAGUGAAUCAUCCUUCUUAGGGACCAUGACUACAUUGGCAAGCCACUCGGAGUGGUAUAUCUCACGGAUGAACUCUACUGCUAGGAGCCGAGCCACUUCUUUGCUAAUUGCUUUUCUCUUCUGUACGGUGGACCGCCGAAGAUGCUCUUUGACGGGUUUUACCUUGGGGUUGACACGAAAAUGGUGCUCAGCCAGUCCUCUGGGUACACCCGGCAUGUCAGAGGGUUUCCAUGCAAAGUUGUCCCAGUUAUCACGGAGGAACUGGAUGAGCGCUUCUUCCUAUUUGCUGUCGAGUGUCAUUGAUAUAUGAGUCGGUGCGGCAUUGGGAUCGGUCGGGUGAAUAUGAAUCGGCUUCGUUUCACCAGACGACUGAAAUGCAAAAUCCGUGGCGGGCUUCUUGGCUCGGAGCAAAUCACUCGGAUCUACAUUCUUCUGAUAUUCUUGGAAUUCAACUGCAGCCAUUUGCGCAUCGGCAAUUUUGGAACCUUUCUGGAAGCAUUCCUCUGCCUUCUGCCGAUUGCCAGUAACUGUGAUCACACCUUUGGGGCCAGGCAUCUUCAGCUUGAGGUACACGUAACAUGGUCGAGCCAUAAAACGUGCAUAGGCAGGCCUACCCAAAAUGGCAUGAUAAGCACUCUGGAAAUCCACGACUUCAAAUGUCAACUUUUCCUUACGGUAAUGCUUGGAAUCACCGAAAACCACGUCGAGAGCGAUCUGGCCGAGUGAUUCGGCUUUCUUUCCAGGGAUAACACCAUGGAAACUCAGAUUGCUCUCGCCAAGUUUGGACAUCAGAAUGCCCAUCCCCUUCAAGGUUUCAGCAUAAAGAAUAUUCAGGCCGCUACCACCGUCCAUCAGCACUUCAGUCAGUCUAGUGCCUCCGACCAUGGGGUCGACCACCAAUGCCUGCCUCCCGGGGGUGGGUACACGCGCAGGAUGGUCAGACUAGUCGAAUGUGAUGGCUGUCUGAGACCAUUUCAGGUAUGUGGUCGUCGUUGCCAGAGCGACCAUAUUCACUUCUCUAUUGAUAACUUUCAACCGACUCUUGCUCUCAACAUCAGCAAAAAAUCAUGAGGGUGGAAUUGACUUUGGAAUAACCGUCGUCUUCCUCUUCGUCCUCGUCUUUGUCCGACUCUUUCUCCUUCUCACCGGGCUAUUUUUCUCGGAACUGCUGGAUCAGGAGUCGACAUUUUCGAGUGGUAUGCUUAGGGUAAAUCAGAUUACCCUCUUCGUCCUUCUUCGUGUGGAUGUGACACGGUAAAUCCAACACAUCAUUUCCUGCUUGGUCCUUUACCUUCUUAGGGGGACAGGGCCCUUUAGGUUUUCCCUUAAACUUUCCUUGAGCCACUGCUGCAAUCUCACCGUGUGCUGCGGGCUCGGCCUUACGCUUCUGUUUCCGAUUGGAAUUACCUCCACCGGCCUCUUGGCCAACUGGUUUACUCUUCCCGCUAUGGAGUCGAUCCUCUUCUUCUCCGUUAGCGUACCGGGUGGCUAUUUCCAUCAUCCGAGUCAGAGUCAUAUCUCCAGUCCGACCGAACUUCAGGACCAACUCGCGGUAUUUGACGCCUUCCUUGAAGGCACACAUCGCCUGAUGCUCUGAUACAUUUUCAACGGUGUGAUGCAAAGUGGUCCACCUCUGAAUGAAACCCCUUAAAGUCUCACUCGGUUUCUGCACACAAUGCUGCAACUCUGUCAACCCUGCUGGCCGCUUGCAAGUGCCCUCAAAAGUUCUGACGAACACUCAAGCCAGCUCUUCCCAACUGUAUAUACUGCCUGGAGCUAACUGAGUCAACCACGCUCGGGCCGACCCUUCCAACAUCAAAGGAAGAUGUUUCAUUGCUACUUCAUCGUUCCCACCGCCAAUCUGCACAGCCACUCGGUAAUCUUCAAGCCAAGUUUCAGGCUUGGAUUCUCCAGUGAACUUACUGACUCCGGUCGCCAACCUGAAGUUGGGAGGAAUCACCGCUGCCCUGAUGGCUCUCCUAAAACACUCUAGACCAGAAACAUGCACUCUGCUGCCACUCGGACAAUCUCUGCCAGGGUCUUCUCUAUGCGCUCUGUUCCGGUCGACUAGACCUUGAACGAGGAUAGAUCUCGCAUCGAAGCCCGGUUCUCUUGGGUCGACUAGUGCUCUGUGCUCGCCACUGUGACGGCAUCUAUCAUCGUUCUGCCGAGGCACAUAUGAUGCACUCCUUGGAGGAGGCGUAGGCACUCGACGACGAUUGUCGCGGUCGAGCCGAUGAUCAUACUGUCCACGACCUUCACGCUGCAGGGGCGAUCUUGGGAUGUGGGCCGACUGAACUGUAUCCGCUACUACAGACAUGCUAUGAAUCCUAUUCCGCGACUGAGACACUGUUGCGUUCUGUUCUCCUACUGCCCGGAGGAAGGCUCGGAUCUGCAUCAAACCUCUGCCGGCCUCUGACUGGGAAGGUUGAAUUGACUCUGCUAUUCGGGCUGCAGCUGUGAGAUUUUGGAUCGGAGUGCGGUAUACCUUAGGUGGAGACGGGAAAAGUCGUCGUCGACUGGACUCAGGGACCCGCUCUCGAGCACGCUCGUCGAGAGCGCGCUGAAGGUUCUCUAGUCGAGUGUGCUCAGCCAAAUUAGCUAGGCGCACCUCUUCCAAGGCCCGAGCCUCAGGGGUUUCUCCAACGAUGGGCGUGUGGAGUGCAUCCAUGUUGCGGCGACGAAGUUCUUCCCUCUGCUGCGAAGAAAGGGGCUCGGGAUGGUAUUCCUCAUGGACGUGCGACGGAUUGCCGCCACCAUCCUCGCCGUCUUCACGACGGAAACCAGGCGGACCACGCGGUCCGUCGACCAUCAAGACUUCAGCCGCAGGGUCGCUGCUAUCGCACUCGGAUGCGGCCUCCGCAGAGCCAGUCGACAGAUCGAACAAGCCGUGGAGAGUUUCGUCAGGCUCGAUUGUCGCGACUUGAUGGGUGGCCGAACGUCGAGCCACCGCGUGUUUCACCCACCACUGAAGCCGCGACCGACCGGAUCGCUUGCAGCGGCGAACAGCGGGGAGGGAAGACACCAUCGGAGACGACCGAUACUGAGUCGACGGCUGCCAGAGAAGGACGCCACGAACGCACGCGCGAAAGUGCGUCGCCCCUCAAACGGGGAGCACCUCAACGUCGAGGGGAGCUUCCUGAAGCCAAGCGGAGUCAUCGGCGAUGAAAACGAGCGCGCCGAGACGGAUCUCGCGACCCUCAGCCAAUCCGCCGCCGGAAACCAUGAUGAUGAUGAUCGGAAAAACUUGCAACUUCACCAACAAGUCGCUAAGACACCUGCCCCACGGUGGGCGCCCUGUCGUGGUUCUAAGACUGACAGUAGAAAAGGGGGUAGGUAUGGAGAGGCAAGAUCUCUGCUAUGGUGAAGGUGUACACGCGGGGUUUACGAGUUCAGACCCUUCUCGGUGGAAGUAAUAGCCCUACGUCUCGGUCCCGGAGGCGGUCGAUUGGAUUAUAUGCGUGUGAUGUUAUAGGGGGUGCAAACCCUUGUGCUAGAGGAGGGGGUGGCUUAUAUAGAGUAUGCCAGGACCCUCACCGUCCUCCAUUACAAGAGACUUAAUGUACAUAAAGUGGGGGCGUUACUGGUAACGCCAGCAUUAAAUGUUGUUAAUGACCUUAAAGACUACGGAGUGAACGCCUGCCCAUUGCAAUGUUGAGUGACUCCUGGUCUUCGGUAGGUCGAGUGAUUCCUUGGAUGGUCGAGUGACUGUAAGUAGGAGGACUCCCGAGUGACAUGACUGGUCGAGUGGAUUGAACUCGACAUCUUUGACUGGGGGUCUCUUACUGCUUCUUGGACUUCUUAUCUUCUAGGGUAGUGACCUUGGGUAGGACGUAUAGGUCAGGCCUAUGACCCUACCCUAGGUUUGUAUCCUCAUCAGCGAUCUUGUCCAGUCUCCUUGAUCAUCGACACGGCCUGCAAGUUAUCGCAUUCAAGGGCGAUCGGUAGCUCAGUCCACUGUAGGGAUAGACUGAGGCCUUCCCGGCAUCCCUCGAGCUCAGCAUGCAGAGGGCCAGAGCACGAUCGCAAGGAGCGGCAAGCAGAGAAUAUGAUGCCGCCGUCAUGGCCGCGCAGGACCAUCCCAGUGCCCGCCCUGCCAUCUUCAUGGGUGAAGGACCCAUCAACAUUUAGCUUGGCCCAUCCAAACGUCGGCGGUUUCCAUUUGCGCGGAAUCUUAGGCUCUUUCGACACAUGCGGUAAUGGUUGCUCCGCCCCGUCCAGCUGCACAACCAUCUUGCCCUUCCCCAGUCACCUGCUGGAUAUUGUUGUAUGCCUAACAGCGAGGCAAUGUAGCUCUAUAAGAAGCAUCGAGAAACCUCCAUGGGCGAUGGUCUCUUGUCGUGUUGGAUCUCAUUCCGGAUGAACCAGCACCUCCACAUCAACAUGAGGACUCUGAGGCGAUCGCCCUCGUCGCACUCCGCCAUGAGAUUCAGGAACCAUUCCGGUCCCGUGUUCCGCAUUGAUGUGACUUGGGAAUACGCCAAACCUCCGCCAUGGUAUGCCAUAGAUCCUUAGCUCAUGGGCACCUGCAAAACACAUGAAAUGUGUCCUCUCGCUCGAGACAUGAUGUUGGGCUUUGACAAGCACACCAUUAGUCAUGCGGCGGCCAGAGCCUGUCAUUCAUUCACACGCCAAGAAGACAACGGGUAAACAAGAAAAUAUACAGUGUCAUGAAUGAUGAAUGUUGUAACCACAUUAUUAAUGCAGGAAAUACAUACGUAAGCGCGUGCAGAGCAGUGGCAACAGAAGUAUGGAAAAUAUAACAAGAAACGAUACAUCACAUCAUUGUAUUGUAUAUUAUUCAAAGUCCGCUGGAUUCUGACCAAUGAGAAGUCAUUAGAUUCAAAAAUGUGUGCCGGAAGAGAAGAAACCAGGUGCUUCACAAAGACAAAGUGUACAGCCAACUUCAGUAAAUAGCUACUCCUUUUUUAGGGGCUUAAUUGUAAUUAUGUGUACUCACUUAUCUGCACAAGACUCUCCACAUAAUUAACGGUUUCGAAAGUCAUUUUCUUACCCGAAUACGGGAGGUGAUUGUUCCUAUCAGGUUGAUAGUACCACAAGUCCUUGAUCGCCACAGGAACCUUCCUCAUCGUGGCAUUUCCAAUGUUAUACCGGAACAGUUCGCGGUCAGCAAUAACAAACAGCAAAUCCUUGCCGUGAAACGCAACUUUGGGGCAUCUGAAAAGCCCACCAGGGACCGGCACAACAACCUCCGGCGGAAGCGGGACGACGAGGCGUCGAGUCCAUGCCGGCGCAUCCGUCGUAUCAUCACAAGCCCAGAUCUCCACCACCUCACACGGCUUUGCGAAGCAAGCACAGCACAGCUCGCCCUCCAGUUCUACGAAACCCACAGGCUGCGCGUCACACGGAGGAUACGGGAUCAGGCUGAAAGUCUCGUCAGCUAAGCUGAAGCGGAUGAACACGUCGGGGCUGAUUUCAUCCGGCAGAUCAACUCUCCGGUAAAUGAAGCCUCGGGCGUGAGCCGGCGUUACCGCGCGAAUCGGGUACGGAGGAUCGGCGGUUCGCCUCCAGAAGCUGUUGGUUCCCAGGGUGAGCACCUCGAACCUGCAGACGCUCUCAGAGGCAACGCCGUGUUGCCUCUGGUAGAAAUACCUCGCCGCUUUGUACUUUCUGCUACGUGGGUCGAAACCAAACCCGACGCGGUGGUGCUGCUCUUGGUUCUGGCUGCCCUUGGGCAGGAAAACAAACUCUCCGGUCAGAAGGUUGCGGACCAUUAUCUCCUGGUCACUGGUGGAGGUGAGGAUCAGGCCGUCGCAAUGCAGGGGCUGGGUCCAUCGACCAAUGCCCGUCGGAAACUGCUCGCUUGACGCAAGGCCGCCAUUGUACUCGUAGAAUCUCAUCGAGAACGCGGUCUUCUUCUCUGGGGAGUACUCGCAAGGCAGUAUGAGCAUCCUUGGCCGAGGCUUUGAGAGCUCUCGGUGCGCGUCGGCGAAGCGCCGGCUGGAUAUCACGGCGAGCCACCCCUUGCAGACGCACUUGAGCCUCGCCGCGGACUUGGCCGGGAGCCGUGAUAGGAUCUCGAUGGUCAGGUCGUCUGGGAUGCUGGCAAGAGACGGCCGUGAGCACGGCGUGCCGAUGAAGGCGAACUUCUUGCGAGGCGGCUGUGGAGACGCGGGGAGAUCUGCACAUCUCUUCCCCGCCAUGGCAGAAGCCUUUGGAUCCGCAGAAGAUGAGAGCGUAUGAAUCAGUUAUAUAUGGCUCUGAGCGGAACUUAAACAACGGGCGUCGGAUUAUAUAAGGAAGGACGCGGUUUUUGUUUCCGAUUCGAUCUAAUCAGGCAGAAAAUUAUACAAGGAAUUCUCAGUUUGAUCAGGCAAGCUCGAACCGGAACCGUAUAGCACACCCUAACCUUUGGAAAAACAGAGUCGGUGCGGUGCGCCGCCAACGUCGAGGAUGAUAGAUGGCUGUGGAUGAUCCUUCUGCAUCACCCGGCGCCGGCAAUCCUCCGCCGGCCGAGCGACUGCGGCAGGGCCGAGGGGAUCCGCGCGAGCGACUUCAACAUCGUCAAGAAAAGGCCAUUCAUGGAUGCGCACUCAAGCAUUUGAUGCUACUUUUUUUUAGUUUAUUUUUCAUUCUUUCGAAUUUGCCGUUCAUGGGAGCAUAUGAGCUCGGGAUAUCUGUGAAUUACCUUUUUUUUUACUUCACUAGGUCUGGCACAAAGCAACUAAACGUCCGUGGAUAUAACAAGGAAACGGCAGAAACUGAUCAGGUUUCCGUCAUGCAUCUGCUCUUCUCCACAUUGUAUACCCAUUUAACACCAAGCACACUGAUCUAGCCAGGACCGGAGCGCCCCAUGAAGAUCAAUCGGCACAACACUAGCUAUCGCUUUUAUCAACUUUAUUCCGAAGACACCAUGCAAAUAUAGUACAACUACUUGGUGCCAAUAAGAAUUCGUAGUUCAGGCAACAGUGAGCUAAACCGAACAACUAGCAGAACAAGUUCUCUCCACAAAGUAGUCACUAAAUCGCGGCACAAUGCCCAUACACAUCACAGUAAUUCAUGGAACAAACCAUGCGGCAGAUCUUCAGAGGUAGUAGUAAGAAAGCAGAGGCGCCACCACCGCGGCUAGGAGGAUGGUUGCCGCCGAGACAGGAGAUCUGGUCGCUGCCGAUUUCGCUGGGCUUGGGCUGACGGUUGUUGGUGUUGAUCCGGAAGUUGGUGUAGGUGCUGCAACAUACAUUUCGAUUUCAGUAUAGUAAAAUGGAUGGAAGUAAAAGAUUCAGACGAUAGAAAAGCAGGAACCAACAUUUCAAUUCAGGACUUCGGGCAAUAAAGUAAAACAGGUGGUUUUUCUCAAUCACAACAUAUAAUCUAUCAUCAGCUUUCGUGUCACACCGAUGAACAAUCCAUGAGGAUGAACUUAAUAUACAAACUGAUGCACGUACACAAAUCACAUCUUUUAGCAGCUGGCACAUUCUAUCACUAAUUGAAGGCCAAAGUUGGCAUCAUUUGGUGGUUGCCAUGCAUCAUAAUGGUUUGUCAAUUAUGUUCUGUUCGUGAUCCAGUGCAACAUCUGGCUGUCAGCCCUCAAAAUUACGAUGGCAUUGAAAAGCACCGCCACUAUGACAGCAGUACUUUAUUAGGAAUGUCUUCGAUUACAAUACAAGCUAAUAUUUUGAAGGUCUGCUAUGUGCCAAUUUCAUUCUAUGUGAAUCUCAAAAUCAUUCUUUUUUGUGAUGUUUUUCUUUUCAAGUGGAGGUUGUCAACAACAAAAAAUGUUCUGUUUUUUCACAUGCAGACCACUGAAAAAUUCUAGAUGCCAGAGGUGUCCAGAAAAAUUCUCUGUAGUCCAAGAAAGCAUUGAUGUCAAUGCCCAAGGACACAUUCAUAUGUUUUCCCUUCGAUCUCAAGAGUGGAAAAUGGAGGUGGAGAUAAAUCGACUCUAGCUCUCGGCAGUUCUUUAAUCAGUCAGAUUGGAGCAUCUGCUGAUUAGAUCUAAUUAACGUUUUUUUUCUGCACGGAUCUACAGGAAUAAAGAGAGGGAUUCAAAAUGUAGGAACUGCAAAGGAGAAGAGAGUGAGGAAUUACCUUCAGUAGGGGCGCCGUUAGGGGCUCCGCCGGGCAGUUUCACUGCAGGACAACCAAAAAUUGAGUCAGACCAACACCGCAUGUGCGUGCCCCUCCAUGAACACACGGGGACAGAUCACAAAUCGACACGAGGAAAAGAGAAUCGGAACAAGAUGGGAAGAUGGCUCACGGCUGCAGUUGCUGAGGGCGGCCGGGUUGCCGCCGCAGGCGGCGGGGAGGCCCUUGGCGCGGGUGAGGUUCAUGGGGAUGCCGUAGUCCUUGCCGAAGGCGUCGCAGAGGCAGGCGACGCUGGCGGGGCUGGCGAGCGCGGUCUUGACGCCGGUGCAGCACUCCUUGGGCGGCUUGCCCGGCGCGGCCCCCGGCGUGAUGUAGGGGAGGCAGCCGGUGAGGCCCGUCAGCGCGGAGCCGCAGUCCCCCGCCGGCGCCGCCGGCCCCGCCGCCGGCGCCUGCGACGCCGCGCCGGACGCCAGCGCGAGGACGACGGCCAGGAGAGCCGCGACGGCGUGGGUGGGGCGCGCCAUGGCGGGUGCUCGAGCUCGAGUGCGGGGGCGGUGUGGGGGGUGGGGGAGUGGAAGCGCGGUGUGGUGGUGGAGUGGACUGAACUGGUGGGCUGUGGGCGGCUGGUCUGGCUUUAAAGGUGGCGGCUUCUCGGCGCGGCCAGCGAGGGCGGUGAGGUGGGAUUGUAGCACAGUAGGGUUUCCUCCUGGUGGGUGGUGGUGACCGUCGUUAUCUACCGGGCCGGCGUGCCGUGCGCACCGGAGAGCGGUUGGUUAGCCGAGUGCUCGACGGUUGGCGCGCGAGUCAAGUCUCCAGCGCGCGACUGGACUGGCACGUACGUUGGGAACCGCCUUUUCUGCGUCCUUGGAAACGGUAAACAUGAUGUCAUAUACUCACUCCAUUUUCUUUUCAAAGAUCAAGGGUCGUGAUAAUCAUUUCGCAGCAAUUUUUUCAGCAUUUUGGGGCCCAUUUAUGGAAUCAUUUCGCAGCCAUUUUUUUGCGGGAAAAGAAAUGCCAUGUCGGGUCAAAGUUAGGAAAAAGAAGUGGUGGAGUGCACAGACAUGACAUGGUGGCCACGGCCACCCGUGCAGCCUCCAACUGGAGACACCCUGCCUCCACAAUGAAUUUGAAAGAAAAGAAACAAAUACGACAAGAUCUUCAAAUCGACUACGUGCUCUUAUUCUUUGUAUUAUGAGAUUUUUUUUCCCUCAGAAAAACGCGCUUAGUUCCUUGUAAAUUCAACCACUAUUAUCCUAAAAAAAAAUUCAACCACUAUUUCAUUUGCAAAAAAAAUUAAAAAAAAUUCAAGCACUAUUUGGCUGCUCGAUGUGUCGUUUUCUUUUUAAGUACUUCUCCACCCUGUGACUUUAACCGCCAAUGGCAACGCAUGUUUUUUUCUUAUCUUUGGUCCGCAUGAUGGCAUUCCGCAGUCCAUAUGAAGGUAUUUCCCCCUGAACACUUUGCGACAGCGAUGCACAGCUGUGAUGUGCCAGCCGAAAUUCCGUGAUGCGCCUUUGCACUUGCAUAUAUGGAAUGCAAGAUGGAGAGGCGUGCAUGUGACCUUCCAGCUGGUUUGCAUCCUCACAUGCUCUCCAGUACUAGUACUACUACCUGGCCCAUGGAAUUAUUGUGCAAUCCAUACUGCAUUCCGGGGUUGCAUCCUUAUCUCGCACAGUGCUGUCGAUCUCGCGUGAGAGCGCGGGUAACCUCACUUAUUUUCGCCACACGCGGCCUUGUCUCUGAUGUUUCUGUUUGCAAAACGGAAAUGGCAAGGCGGUCUAGUUUUACAUCAUCAAGUGCCGUAAGAUUACGUGAUUGAAAAAAAAAUAAGACUGUGCUCCUCAAUCGAGAAAAAGGAAAAAUGACAAAGAAAUAAGAUGUCUUUUGCUGUUGGUGGGUUUACCUCGAUAGGAAGGUCAGUGUAGCUUUGCCGGCGGAAGUUCCCGUGAAAAGAAGGAAAACGAUAGGCGUUUGUUCACGAAUCUCAUGAUCUCAUCUGGUAUCACCUUCACACACACACUUCGGCGGCCCUGCACUUCGUAUGCAUGCAUACCGACGAGACGAUACCGACCAGCGUGAGGAUAGAUAGAUAGAAGAGGAGAAAAGGUGCGCUGCGUCCACAGGCAACAGUCUCUUUUCUCCCCUACUCUUUUCUGCGGGGAAUCUCACCUACUUUUUGUUUUUGAGUUGAUCUCACCUACUUUUUGGCAGCCAUACCGACCGUGACAGCUAAGCUCGUUCGUUUCAGAACGAGUCGCACGAAUGGUAGCCCGUAUGUUCAGGUAAAAAAUAUAUUUGGGGCAGUGAUCUGCGCCGGCGCGCUGGCCCAACGUUUCGGCUGGUCGCGCGCCGUCAGAUCCAAUCGCGUUAGACCGUUAGAUCUAGGAAAAAACGGUUCACCCAGCUUCUUUCCUUUUGUCGCGGCACCUUCCCUCAUUACUAGGGAAAAUCUUAUACACAGAAAUUUAGCAACAACGCGGGUAAAAAAAGGGCGCUAGUGCUAGAUAGCAAUAGCGUUUGAGAAAAAACCGCGCUACAGAUACAACCUUAGCAGUAGCGCGUGUAGUGGCAAAAGCGCUACUAUUAAUAUUCUCAUUGGUAGAAUGAUAGGCUACGCAUAGCAGUAGCGGGCUUGGAAGAAGUGCGCUACCGCUAGGGCAUAAGUAGUAGCGCGUUUCCUAAGAAGAGCGCUACUACUAAGGAAAUAAAAUAAGAUGAAAAACAAAUAGAAAAGUAAAUGAAAAUGAAAGAAAUAGAAAAAGGAGAAAGGAAAAAAUAAAAUGUAAAGCAAAAUAAAUGAAAAAGCGAAAAAAGGAGGAAGGCAUAGCAGUAGCGUGUGUUCGUAAGAGGCGCUAUAGCUAACGUAGCUGUAGCGCGUGUCCUAGACCCCCGCUAUAGAAACAGAAAAAGAAAUUAAAAAAUGGAAGAAAAUUACAUAGCUAUAGCAGCAGCGCGUUUUGUAAAAAUCGCUAUAGCUAUCUUAGCUAUAGCGCGUUUUACCAAACGCGCUACCGCUAAGUUUGACUUAACCAAAAAACCGUUUCUCCCGGCCACCACUUCUCCCUCAAAUCCCUCAACCCACCCCGCCGCCGUCUCCCCGAUUUGCCGUCGCCCCACUUCGCCGCCGUCUCGUGCCGACGUCGACGCCACCAGAGCCGUGCGCCGUCGACGCCACCGGAGCCGCCCCCAAUGCCACGGAGCCGCGCAGCCUCGUCAACGCCACCGGAGCCGCCGUCGACGCCACCGAAUCCUUCCUCGCCACAACUGCCUCCCUCGCCGUCACCGGAGCCAUCCUCUGUAAUCCCCCACCCCUCCUCUCUCUGUCAUGCAUAGGUUAGCUAGUUUAAUUAGGUUAAUUAUCUAGGUUAGGGCAAAAAUUUAGUUAGGGCUUUGACAGAGAAGUAGUUAGGUUAACUAGUUUAAUUAGGUUAAUUAUCUAGAUUAGUGCAAAAUUUUAGUUAGGGCUUUGACAGAGAACUAGUCAGGUUAACUAGUUUAAUUAGGUUAAUUAGUGCAAAAAUUUAUUUAGGGCUUUGACAGAGAACUAGCUGCGUUAACUAGUUUAAUUAGGGUUAAUUAUCUAGGUAAACUAGAUUAACUAACUAGGUUAAAUAGGUAGGUUAAUUAGGUUCGUUGGAUUAACAAGCUAGGUUAAGUAGGUUGGCUAGGUUAGAGGAAAAUUUUAUUUUAGAGCAUUAGGUCAGAAGGGUUAGAGAAUGGAGUUCCUUUGCAAUUUAAUUGGGUUCUGUCCUAGGCGGAGAAGGGUUAGAGAUAAUAAUGUGUGUUUGUGUGAGAGAGAGGAAUAGCUAGAUCAACAUAAUUUGGGUUCUGUCCUAGGCGGAGAAGGGUUAGAGAUAAUAAUGUGUGUUUGUGUGAGAGAGAGGAAUAGCUAGAUCAACAUAAUUUGGGUUCUGUCCUAGGCAUAGAAGUGUUUAGUGAGGUCAUUUUGCAAAGGUUUUUGAUUUUUGAAAAGACCACUAUUUUUCAAGGAAAAGAAUUUAGGCAAAUUUUAUUUUAAAGAUGACCCCUUCCUAAACUUUUAUUGUUGAUUAUAUCUUUUCAUUGAAGUGGUCAUGUUAUAUCUUUUCAUUGAAGUUGUUCGAUUGUGCCUAAGUUGCUUUGUUGUUUCCAGGGAAUGAUGCUGAGUGACCUAUGUUUUGCUGGAAUGUUGAUUCAUUUCUGUUCCGGCAAAUUUCAGCUUCUCGAUUUGUUCACUUUUUAGAAAAGGUCAUGCCGAAAUUUUCCGUGAAUUUCGGCAUGACUUGUGCUACAAACUAGGACAUAUCGAGUGCCGGGAUUUGCCGCACCAGGAAGGAGUCAACAUUCCUGCAAAACAAUAGGCCUUUUUAUGUCAUUAUUCAUUUUAUUAGGUCUAGAAUUAAUUGACUAGAUUUAAUCAUAGGAAACAUGGCUAGCAACGAUGAAGGACAGGGUUCUGGUGAUUGCGACGAUGUCUACCGGGCGACAGACAAAUUUUUUAACCUUACCGACGAUCAACCGAUGUUGUUGCUGGGCCCACUAGUGGCAUCGGGGACUGAGACCGACACGCAGACCGGUGCUGAGACUGAGACCGGCGCUGAGACUCAGACCGGCAUCGAGACACGACGCUGAGACUGAGACCGGUGCUGCCUCGGGGAGCGGAGCCGGUGUAGAACCGAAAGCAAAGAGGCAACGGCUUCCUAACAAACUCAGGACUACUAGACUGGUGGUCACGGAGGUGGACGACGACAAUUUUGAGCCAAAGGCGCACGAUGAAGCGCGCGCGUGCUACGACAAUCAAAUAGGCUGCAUCGUAUGGACAACCGCCACCAUCAACGAUGAGAAACUACAGAAGAUAGAAAAUAUGAGGAGCUCCCUCCUAAAGAAGUUUCACCAGAUAUUCUUGUUCCUGGGCCAGAAUGAGAAGGAUUAUGAAGAUCCAGACGAGGACCCAACAAUGAAGAAGAUAAACAAACACGCCAUGACCAAGUUUAGCGACGCGUUGGCUGCUUGGAAAACUCAAGUGAAAGCAAAGAUCAUCGACAAGAAGGAACCCUACUCCGAGAUUGUAAAGGAUAAUCCGACAAUCACGGAAGAGCAGUUUAAAAUAUUCAAGGAGGCUUGCGAGGCCGAAGCUGCCAAAAAAGUCUAAGUACAUGAAGGGGCUUCAAGAGAGGAACAUUGGGAGCCACCACCUCGGAAGCCGUGGUUACGGCGGAAAGAGGUCCAAAUGGGCCAAGGAGGACGCGGAAGCCGCGAGUCUGGGCAUCCCAGACCCCUUGGCGGAUUUCACCGUCCUGUAGGAGCGUGACGUCCUGAGGGCCCGGCACCGUUGGGACCCAGUGAAGAAGGUUUACGAGACAACACCGGUCAUUACGGAGUUCAUGAGACUGCUGGUAAUUUUAGUUUCUGAUCAAUUCGACUGCACACGUUAGUCAUAUUUGUAAAUGAUCCUUGUGCCUUUUGCAGAGAGAGUAGCACCGGAUUGCGGCCGAAAGCGACUCGCUGUCUGAGGCAUUGGCGAGGCCCAAGUGGGACACUCCAUUCAACCGGGCGUUGAAUAUAUUGAAACGACAACCGGUGGAUACUCGACCGUCGUAUGGAUGCGUGCACGGUGUCGGAGACGGCGCCACGUGGAAGAAGUAAAGUCGUGUCCAUCCCGGACAUCUGCAACGUCCUCUCACGCCUUUUUUGGGGGGUCUUAUUGUUUGUUGGGAAAGCAAGGAAGACUAGCUUUGGCUCGAACAUAUUGAAACGACAACCGGUGGAUACUCGACCGUCGUAUGGAUGCGUGCACGGUGUCGGAGACGGCGCCACGUGGAAGAAGUAAAGUCGUGUCCAUCCCGGACAUCUGCAACGUCCUCUCACGCCUUUUUUGGGGGGUCUUAUUGUUUGUUGGGAAAGCAAGGAAGACUAGCUUUGGCUCGACACAUUCCUCGACAUCGUCCCACACAGAAAGAAAGAGCGUGGAGCCCCGGCCCGACCUGUAAGUCCGCCCGCGGGUAAUACCUUACUGAGCCUACUCAAGCAAUCUCCCAUUAGCCGCUCUUUACUUUAUAGUCAAGCGAUUGUAAACUCAUUAUUUAGGCUAGCGACUUUGCUGAUUAACAAGAUUAUCGCAUUGGAACCGUGAGACCAUGGAGGAGAGAAAGGAAAGACGGAGGUUAACUGAAGAAAACAUCGACAAGAAGGUUGAGAUUGCGGUUGAGAAGAAAUCAUCAAAGACAGUCGCAACAGCGGUAGCUGCCGCAAAACAGGUGGUUGCAGAUUUGUCUACUUCCUUGGUGACGGGCGUUUUCACUUGGACAAGGCAAAAUCCAGAAAAAAAUGCAGAGGACUUUCCCCUUGUUGACUUCUUGGGAGCACCUGCUCCCGCACCGGCUCCUGCACCUGCUCCUGCACCGGCUCCCGCACCUGCUCCCGCACCGGCUCCCGCACCUGCUCCCGCAUCGGCUCCCUCACCGACUCCCGCACCGGACAUGCUCGGUGGUGCCUCGUCUUUGGCUGAGCUCGACGCCCUCACGGUAUCUGUCACACCACCCCCCUUCAAUAUAAAUGUAUAAUCUCCCGUUUUCGUUGCCUUUCGGAUGUCUCACAUCGCAGACUUUUCUUUGCAGGCCGACGAAACCCCAUGCACCAUAUUAUACACCAUCGGCGACCAGAAGGUGGACGUGGGGAAGGCGACGAUAAUGGAGCCGAAGGAACCAUUGUUCCACAGCCGGUCGAUCCCCCCGAACGUCUUCAAGGUUUCCGUGGCCAGUGUCAAACCGGGCCACGAGAAUUUGCCUCCUCUAAUACUAGUGGGGGAUGACGACGAGACCCCGCGGCGGCUUGGUGAUUGUUGCAACGGGUAGGUCCUGUUGUGGCCAAAGAGUCUGCUUCAUCUGGAGGCGGCCGGGAGCACACCCACGAGCACGCAGCCUCAGCAAGGUAUGAACAUCAACACCCCACCUACCCAAUUAGCGUCGGGUGUCGGGUUGGGUGAUAGCGGACGGGGUAAGGAGGAGGUUCCAUUAGUCGCUGAUGACGUCGCCAUGGAUGAGGAUGAGGAUGACGAUGGCGCUGAACAGUAUGUCUAUACUGGCGCCUCCUCAGGGUUUGAGCGUCAUGAGUCGGUGCCUGAAUUACCGUCUCAAUGUAUUAUGGACGACCUUCCGGUAGUAAAGAAGUCUAGGAAGAGAGCGAGGAAAGGCAAAAAAGCUGAUUCUAUGAUCCAGCCGCCUCAGCAGCCUCGGCUUUAGGACCGUAUAGAUAUCCCCGAUGCGGAUAAAUGGCAUAUCCCCGGUCAACCAAUCCUACCUGCAAUAGCGCUACGGGCCAGAUUCGGUGAUCUAAGGAGACUCCAUGACGAUGUGCUGCUGGUAGAGAAAGGCCUCAUCGCCUCGAAAGAUCUAGGAUACCCACUCUACGUGGUUAACGUUCCGCGGCAAAUGUCGUACGUCGACAGCUUCCCCGCGGAUAAGUUCUUCCUCCGAUUCGAUUACAUAUUCGACAUGUUUCACGUGAAGAAGCUGGAUUUUACGUUUGUCCGCCUUUAUGCCUUGCACAUGAACUACAUCAUUGGGGUUGAGCAGAUACGUCAUAUCUGUGUCGCUGACCCGUACUACAUGCACGAGGGCUUCUUGGGAGUCUGCGCAGAGCACCAUGAAUACGCGAGGGAUUACAUCGUCAGUUUCAUGCUCGCCAAUAAGGACAAGGAGGCGAUUCUCGUGCCUUAUCAUCCCAUGUAAGUCAUCCGCGCUGCUAUCCUUCCUUCGAUUUCAAUAAUUCAUUUGCACGGUGGAGGCUAAUUAAUUUGAGGUGUACUUAUUUUGCGCAGCGGCGGGCGCGCCGUCCUCAUCAUCCUCUACCCCCGAUUCUCCCACGCUCUUUACUUGGACUCGUCGAAGAACAUUCACAAAAAGGAUUACACCCACAUCAAAGAUGUUCUCGACAGUGCUAUGUUUUACUACCAAGCAAGGGGUGGAGAGGUUAGGGACAAGAAGAGAAGGGGCAGCAGGGCCGCCUUCAGCCAUAAGACCGACUUCUGCUGCAUCCAGCAACCGAACGAUUCUUUGAUGGAUUCUAUGUCCUACACCACAUGCUGGAGUACAGACGGGAUCACCAGAACCUUCGCAUGUCACCUAGAUCUGGCGAUGCCCAUAUUCUGCAAUGGGCAAAGGACAUAGGAGAUAUCGAGGAUCAUCGACUUCGAGCUGAGUUCUAUAACAUCCAGCGCGAACUUGCCCAAAUCAUCAUGAAGGAGGUCGUCGAAAAAACAGGGAUGUUCUAUGGAGAAGGACAAAUGUCGCGGGAAGACGUCCGAACAUGGAUAGCCUCUCAGCGUCUCGACAUGAAGCCUUUCACUAAGCUCGAGGACUAUCUCCCUGACAUGGAUGGAUGGCACGACAUGGUGGAGUGAUUGUCGAUAUAUGACAAUGUGUCCGUUUAGUCCAUACUUUCUGUAUGACAAAACUUUGAGUUAUGCACGGUGAAACUUUAUUUGUGAUGUAAUUAAACCGUCCUCCUCCUCGAGUAGCGAAAAUCACUCUAGUUAGGGCAUAUUGGGUACGAUGAACUUUGUUAUUUAUGCUUAUGAUAUGUUGUUUCUAUUUUUGCCAAGUCUGUCUCUUUCUGUUGCUCAACUAUAUAUGUUGCAUAUCAUCGACUCAUGUGACGAUGUAGGUGCAUAGAUCAUAGAUGGAGAAGAAGUGCAAUGCCAGGAGUAUAUAUACGACAAGUGGCCGGAGUGUCAGGCCCAGGUGUACCAGUUUCCGGUUUCCGAGCGACAGGCAGUAGUUAGUUUAGGUUCACGCUAAUGCGAGAGAGGGAUACGAACUCAUGUACUCAAAGUGAUAGCUCUUCUCGCGUAUAUCAUUGUUUAGAUGGACGAAGAUGUAUUUGCAAGUAAUUGAGACUUGUAUCGCUAUUUUCGAGAUUGAUGACGAGAAACCACUUUGUGUUGGAUGAUGAUUAUGAUGAUGACAUGAUUUGAUGAGACUAAUUGUAUGUAUAUGCUAUGAUUACAUUUGUAUGUGUAUGAUAUGCUAAAGAUUAUUGUAUAAAGCCUAUUCAAAUACAAAACAAAUAUGCAGGAAAAAAACUAAUAAAACUAGUAGUAGCGAGGGAGGGGGGGGGGAAUUUAGCAGUAGCGCCGCCUUACUAGUAGCGCUUCCCUAUAAACAGUUCUGCAGAUAAUAUCAGUAGCGCCCUUUUCUAAAGAGCGCUAUAGCUAUUCAUGUAUAGCAGUAGCGUGGGACAACAGGCGCUACUGCUAUACGUUAGCUGUAGCGCCUUAUUAGUAGCGCCGGUCCCCGCGCUAGUGAGAGGCCCAAAACCCGCGCUGCUGCUAGGCUUUUCCCUACUAGUGCCUCCCCGCAUCUUGCACACGCACCCCCUGCAUCUCGCACAGCUCGUCGGGGCGGAGGCCGCGCUCUCCUACUGCCCGCCUUCCUCCAGGUCACAGCACCGCCCCUCCCCUCCUGCUCCUUGCUAGUUCUCAUCGCCGGGAUUCACGGCAACCCCACACCAGCAUCUUGUUUCCGUGCUCGCCGUCGCGCUUGAAAUGGAUGUAGCGAAAACUUCACAGGUAGUAGCAAAAUCCAACUAUGGUUGCAACAAAUCAUCAUCGUCGCCGUCGCGAGGUCGUAGCUCUGCUUUGAUGGAGGUAGCAAAAUACUUCGCCGGUAGUACCAAAAAACAACUAUGGUUGCAGCAAAAAUCGUCAUCGCCGGUGCCCCACGACCAUUCUCUGCCUAUAUAAAAAAAGAAGUCGGUUGUAGCAAACAACAGAGCUGGUUGCAGCUUUUCGCCGUCGUCCAUGGCUUCCAUCGUCUAUGGUUGAAACUUUUUUUGCCGCCGGUUGAAGCUUUUCUGUAGCCGAUUGCAACAAAAUUAAAUGCCAGUUCCAGUUCGCGCUCUGCCCGGUUCCAGCAAAACAGUGAUGGUUCCAGCUCCGGUGAUGGGCGGUUGCAGCAAAAAAGGAUGCCGCUUCCAGCUCCCAAUCCAGCCGCUUCCAGCAAAAAAACUGAGCAGAGUAGCAUGCUCCCUCAGGAGGAGAAGGAGGUGUGGAGGUCUGGAGGAGGAACAGUGAGAGGGAGGGGGAGUCUUGCGGCGGUGGAUCUCAUCAGGCGCGCGCGCAUGGUGGAGGGUGCCGCGGUCGUGACCGGAGACAUGUGUGCUGGUUGUGCGGGCGAGGGUUGGUGCCUGGUGGUGUGGGUGCCCCCGGCGUCCAUGUUGUGGGGAAGAAGAUGGGGAAAAGAACGAUUGGAAGCAGUGCUCUCGUUGCCUCGUUUUUUUGUAAGGGAUGCUCCCAUGCCAAUCACAUGAUCGAUAGCGAUCGCAGGGCCGCGCGCAUUCGGAGAAAUGUUUCUGCCUGGGCGCCGUCUGGAAAUGUUUACCUUUUUAGGGCUACUAGCACAUAUGCCCGUGCGUUGCAACGGGAGAUUUUUUUGCGAGAAGCAUCGGAAGAUGUGUCCAUUAAAACGGUCUCCACAGCGGUGGGGCGACAAAGCGAGGAGUUGCGGUGUUCUCAUGGGUCAUGUUUGGCCUGCGAGAUCUUGAUAGUGAUGGGGUUGGUCGGUGUGGUGGACACCACUCAACUCGUGCCUUUUUUCCCUCUGGGUUCGCCUCCGUGUCUAGGUUAUGGUUGCCUCCUCAUUUUGUGGCUGCACGGUUGAAAUAUCAUGGAUGUCGCCUAGAAGGGGGGGGGUGAAUAGGCGCUUUAAAAUAAUUACGGUUUAGGAUUGAACAAAUGCGGAAUAAACCUAGAAGUUAAUUUAUCAAGCACAAAACCUACAACAACUAGGCUCACCUAUGUGCACCAACAACUUAUGCUAAGCAAGAUAAACAAAUAGGUGAUAGCAACAUAUAUGACAAGAAACAAUAUGGCUAUCAAAAAGUAAAGUGCAUAAGUAAAGGCUCGGGUACGAGAUAACCGAGGCACAUGGAGACGAUGAUUUAUCCCUAAGUUCACACUAGCAGAUGCUAAUCUCUGUUUGGAGUGGUGUGGAGGUACAAUGCUCCCCAAGAAGACACUAGGGCCACCGUAAUCUCCUCACGCCCUCGCACAAUGCAAGAUGUCGUGAUUCCACUAAGGGACCCUUGCGGGCGAUCACCGAACCCGUACACUUUGGCAACCCUUGGGGCCGGUCACCGGUACCCGUCAAAUUGCUCGGGGCGAUCUUCAUGACCUAAUUGGAGACCCCGACGCUUCCCCGGAGCUUUACACCACAAUGAUUGAGCUCUGAACACCACCAACUGUCUAGGGCGCCCAAGCACCAAAGAGGAACAAGCUCAAGGGUACCAAGCACCCAAGAGUAAUAUGCUUCUCAACUUGAAACUUCCAUGUAUCACCGUGAAGAACUCAAACCAAUGCAUCAAAUGCAAUGGCAAGGGCACAUGGAGUGCCCAAGUCCUUCUCUCCCAAAUGCCACCAAAGCAACUAAUGCUAGGGAGGAAAAUGAGAGGAAGAACAAGAAGGAGAACACCAAGAACUCCAAGAUCUAGAUCCAAGGGGUUCCCCUCACAUAGAGGAGAAAGUGAUUGGUGGAAAUGUGGAUCUAGAUCUCCUCUCUCCUUUCCCCCCAAAUUAGCAAGAACCCAUGGAGGGAUUGAGAGAUAGCAAGCUCGAAGGAGGUCAACAAUGGGGGAAGAACAUGAGCUCAAAGGAUAAUGGUCAUUGGGGAAGAAGACCCCCUUUUAUAGGUGGGAAAAAAAAUCCAACCAUUAUGCUCACAGCCCACACAGAGCGGUACUACAGCUCAUGGGAGCGGUGCUACCGCUAGGGCAGUGGAAGCCCUUUGAAAAACAACAGCGAGGAGGCAAAAGGCCGGUAGAACCGCCGAAGCGGUACUGCCGCUCGUCCUCACGGUACUAGCGCUAAGGGUAGCGGUACUACUGCUUGCGUUAGGAUGAUUUGUGCACUACUUAGAAUAUUUGCAUUAGGAUGCCAAGUGCACAAAAUAGGAUCAUCACUCCCCAAAAAUCUAUAGAAACUCACAACAAGUGCAAGUGAGCAUGUAGGAAACAAAGCCUAGCACUUGCAACAAACAAAUGGUUGAGCAACAUAUAAAAGAGGCAACUUAAGAGUAGGCUCAACCGAAAUGAUGUGUGUGAGUCAUGGCAAAGCACUUGAGAAGACUAAUGUAAGGCUGAUCAUUAAGCAUCAACAUAGUCUUGAAUAGUGGAGAUACAAGGUGCAUGACAUGUCCUUCCCACACACACCAAGCAAAUGGGUUCACAAGCAAACUAUAUAUGCAAAAUGAAUAACUAACACUUGUGACAACCCAUGGUGAAGAAAGAAAAUGAUAGCUUUGUCAAGAGGAGGGAUACCAAUCGAAAUGGCAAAAGCCUCAUCAAGACAAGCAAGAGAAAACAUAUCUUCACCACAACAGAGUGCAUCAAAAUGCAACGAUAUAAGAUCCGUACUCAAGAUAAAUCCUUUCACAUAACCACCAAGCAAAGGUGGACAUGAAAGAAUAAGGAUAUCAACUAUAGAUGUAACUUCUCUCAAGUGUAUAAGAUUCUAGGUAGAUGAAGAUCAUGAUGAUAUCAAUACACAAAGAAGGAUGUACACACGAAAUAGUUACAAAAAGAAAGAAUAAGAUAUCCACAAGGAAGUCAUAAAUAUUACCAAUAAGAUAUUUGCUUGAAAGCAUAGCACAUGGCUAGAUAUGGUCUUAUUGUAUAUAAAUGAAUUCCAACCACACGAGCAUCAAAGACAUCACACCUAGCAACAAGAGACCAUUGUUGGGAUGCUUUGAGAAAGGAAACAAGUAUCAAACGAAAUAAUGAAUUACAUGCCAUGAUACGACCUACACAAGGUUGAUGCAAGAAGUGUGUGCAUGAAGUAGAUGAUGAUACUUGUUACCGAGAUAGCAUUGGAAGGAUGUAGUAGAUACCAAUUGAAGGUAGAUAGUAGUUCAUUGAACAUCCUAGCUUGACUCCAAUAAGCACAUGGUGGCACCACCUUCCUCUUGAAUGAGCUGAGCAUCCAAUGCAUCUCUAGUUGUUCCUAGAACAACACCACAAUCAAAAUGAUACCCAAACUCAAUGGAACGAAAGAGUUAGCAAACCAACAAUACAUAUGAAAAACUCCACAUAAAUAUGUGCAUAUAGAUAUGAAAUAGAAUUUCAUGCACAUCUUUGCCAAUUAGAGACUUGGUGGAGUUUCCCUUAUAUAUUGGGUCAAAGAAAGAAAGCAUGCCAAAGAAACUACAUGAAUUUAAUAUGCAUGAUCAAGACUUUCAAGAACCGAUACCAAUUGUCAAAGAAAUACCAAGUGAAGAAAGGAUACCAAAUGAAUAAAUCAUCACUUGGAGGAUAUCACUUGAAAGAUUCAUCAAGGAAUGAGAUAUCCAUUAAAACACACAAAGGGAGAGAUAUCGAACUCCCAAAAGAGAGGAUGGUUCCAAACAAACCAAGCCCUCUACUAAGUUUCAUAAUGGCCCAAAGUACCAAAAAGAAACGGCUUGCCUUCCACCAACACACACUUGAUAAGGAUGACAAGAUGAGAGUUUUAUAGAAAAUAGGAUAGCUCCCCUAAGAGUAGUGCAUUAUAGAGAAUUUGCAUUUGAAUACAAAAUGCACAAGGUGGUGAUACGUCUCCAACAUAUCUAUAAUUUAUGAAGUAUUCAUGCUCUUAUUUUAUCAUUCUUGGAUGUUUUACAAUCAUUUUAUAGAAACUUUAUAUCAUUUUCUGGGACUAACCUAUUGACCUAGUGCCCAGUGCCAGUUGCUAUUUUUUGCUUGUUUUUUACAUCGUAGGAAAUAAAUACCAAACAGAGUCCAAAUGCAACGAAACUUCAGAGAGAUUUUUUGUGUACCAGAAGACCAACAGUGGGCCAAACAAGCACCUAGGGGGAGCCUCGAGGGGGCACAACCCACCAGGGCGCACCUGGGGGCCCAGGCGCGCCCAGGUGGGUUGUGCCCACCUCGGUGGCCUCCCGCACCCCCUCUUUACCCUAUAAAUUCACAAAUAUUCCAAAACACUUCGGGGUUAACCUAGAUCAGAAGUUCCGCCGCCGCAAGGCUCUGUAGCCACCGAAAACCAAUGUAGACCCUUUCCGGCACCCUACCGGAGGGGGAAUCAUCUCCGGUGGCCAUCUUCAUCAUCCUGGCGGCCACCAUGAUGAGGAGGGAGUAGUCCACCCUCGGGGCUGAGGGUUUGUACCAGUAGCUAUGCAUUUAAUCUCUCUCUCUCUCUCCCUCUCUCUCUCUCUAUCGUGUUCUUGAGAUGUCACAUUCUUGAUGUAUCGCGGGCCUUUUUGAUAUGGUCGGUUCAUAUGGUGUUUUCCCCUCUCUAUCUUGUUGUGAUGAAUUGAGUUUCGUCCUUUGAGAUUUCGUUGUUAUCGGAUUGAAUACUUUUAUGGAUUUGAGAACACUUGAUAUAUUCUUGCAAUUGAAUACUCAUGGUGACAAUGGGGUAUCAUAUUGAUUCACUUGAUAUAUGUUUUGGCACUCAACUCGCGGAUUCCCGAGGUAACAUUGGGGUAAUCUAUGCAUAGGGGUUGAUGCACGUUCUUGUCUUUGUUUCACCGGUAGAAAUCUUGGGGCACUCUUUGAAGUUCUUUGUGUUGGAUUGAGUAUUAUGAAUAUGAAUUUUCUUUGGUGUUAUUUUAGUAUGGACUCUAGGAUAGAUUGAACAGAAAGAAUAGCUUUGUGUUAUUUUAGUACGAACUCUUGAAUAGAUCGAACGAAAAGAAUAGCUUUGAGGUGGUUUCGUACCCUACAAACAAUUUAUUCUUAUGUUCUCCGCUAGAUAGGAACUUUGGAGUGGUUCUUCACCGCACUUUGAGGGGUGGUUAUAUGAUCCAAUUAUAUUAGCACUGUUGAGAGAUUGCACUAGUGAAAGUACGGACCCUAGGCCUCAUUUUCAAGCAUUGCAAUACCGUUUUUGUGCCCAUUUACUAUUUGCUACCUUGCUGUUUUUAUUUUUUCAGAUUAUAAAAAUAUAUUUCUACCAUAAAUGUUACACUUUUAUCACCAUCUCUUCGCCGAACUAGUGCACCUAUACAAUUUGCCAUUGUAUUGGGUGUGUUGGGGACACAAGAGAUUUUUCUCGUAUUUGGUUGCAUGGUUGUUUGAGAGAGACCAUCUUCAUCCUACACCUCUCACAGAUUGAAAAACCUUAGGUCAUCCACUUGAGGGAAAAUUGCUACUGUCCUACAAAACUCUUCGCUUGGAGGCCCAACACGAGUCUACAAGAAUAAAGUUGCGUAGUAGACAUCAGGUGGGAUCACCACUUUCACUAUAUCUAGAAAACACAAGAUAAGUUCAAGAAGUUAACAAGAUCCACAAGUGGUAUGGAAGACAACGGGAGUUGACACAAUCCUUGGCAAGAGAUAAGGCAAAUAAAAGCAAAAACCAAUGUAAAGAUGAUCAAUAAUUUCUACCACACAUAAGUGAGUCGUACCAAUUGUCAAAAGACAAGAAGUAUUUGGAAAUAAUUCCCGGUGGUAGAUAGAAAUAGGGGUGGGCGUUCGGUAUAAGCCGAAUUUCCGGUUUCUACCGUUCGGUUUUUAUUCAAAUUCGGUUUGCAAAACUAGAAACCGAAAAUGCCAACAUAAAUCAGAAAACUGAAAAUUCGGUUAACCGACUGAUUCGGUACGGUAUUUGGUUAAUACCGAUCGUACCUUUUCUUUAAAUACUAUAGUCAGAGUACCCUCUAAUAUAGCCGCAAGUCUCGACGUUUUCUCAGCAGCCAGGCGAUGUGGGACUAAAGUCUUGCUGGCCGGAUGCUCGCACACACACUGCUUUUUUAGCGAAGAGUUACAUGGGCUGGGAGAUGCUAUGCACAAGAAAAUUGGGCCUUCAUAGUACCACGUACGUGUGGUCAGCCCAAGCGAGUACGACCACACGUGAUUGCGGGACUUGCGAACGGCUGUAGCCUGGCUACGUGGGCACCAAGAAGCCAGGCUUUGUGCUGUUCUUCGAGGUUGUUUUGGUGAUUCGGUAUUAAACCGAACCUGCCGAAUUUAAUUUGGUUACAACUAGAAACCGAAAUUCCUGUAGCAGCAAGAAAAACCGAAAAUUCUGUUUUUCGGUAUCGGCUUCGGUUCGGUCUUCGGUUCGUCGGUUUUUAUGCCCACCCCUAGAUAGCAAGGAUAUCCAACAUCAUAUUCACACCAAACACAAGCAAAUUCCAACUUGUAGAGCUAUAGCAUGCCACAUAAGAACAAGACAAUUUACAAUAUCAAUUCUAGGUGACAAUAUCUCAAAUGUACACAUUUUCUAGGUUUGUAAUAUGCACAUAACACAUUACUCCCCCAUAAUGUGAUACCAAAGAAACCUUAACAAGAGGCAAUAAGGAUCCAACAAGAGAUAAUUAAUGGAUUAUUUAGAAUUUGAAUUUCUCAUGAGAUGACAUACCACAUAGCGACUAGAUAAUUUUGUAUAUCAAUACUAGAUGGUAUUCUCAUGUACACACAUUUAUAGGUUUGUGAGGUGCACAAAGCACAUCACUCCCCCAAAAUGAGAUGUUCCAUUAAUUUCUCACAAGAGCCAACAAACAUACAAACAAGAUGCACAAAGGCUCAACACACGACACACUGAUACGUCUCCGUCGUAUCUAUAAUUUUUGAUUGUUUCAUGCCAAUAUUAUACAACUUUCACAUAUUCUUGGCAACUUUUUAUAUGAUUUAUUGGACUAACCUAUUGAUCCAGUGUCCAGUGCCAGUUCCUGUUUUUUGCAUCUUUUUUGUAUCUCAGAAAAUCUAUAUCAAACAAAGUCCAAAUGCAAUAAAUUUUUAUGGAGAAUUAUUUUGGAAUAUAUGUGAAUUUUGGGAGUUGGAAUCACCACAAACGGAGGCCCACACAGCCCACCAGACACCAGGGCGCGUCAGAGGAGCCUGGCUCAUGGUUGUGGGUUGUGCUCACCUCGUAUGUCGGUUGGAGCUCUACUUCGGGCGCAAGGAAGCUUAUAUUCGGAAAAAAUUGUGUUAAAAUCUCAGCUCAAUCGGAGUUACGGAUCUCCCAGAAUAUAAGAAACGGUUUUCGGCCAGAUCUGGGGAACGGGAAACAUAAGAGAAUAGAGAGGGAGAUCCAAUCUCGGAGGGGCUACCGCCCCUCCGCCGCCAUGGAGGCCAUGGACCAGAGGGGGAACUCUCCUCCCAUCUUUGGGGGAGGCCAAGGAAGAAGAAGAAGGAGGGGGCUCUCUCCCCCUCUCUCCCGGUGGCACCGGAGUGCCGCUGGGGCAAGGAUCGUGACGACGAUCUACAUCAACAAUCUUGCUACCGUCAACACCAACUCUCUCCCCCUCUAUGCAGCGGUGUAACACCCCUUCUCCCCGUUGUAAUCUCUACUUAAACAUGGUGCUCAACUCCAUAUAUUAUUUCCCAAUGAUCUAUGGUUAUCCUAUGAUGUUUGAGUAGAUCCGUUUUGUCCUAUGGGUUAAUCAUGAUCUUGGUUGGUAUGAUUGUAUAUUUUAUUUAUGGUGCUGUCCUACGGUGCCCUCCGUCUCGCACAAAUGUGAGGGUCCCCCACUGUAGGGUGUUCCAAUAUGUUCUUGAUUCGCUUAUGGUGGGUUGCAAGAGUGACAGAAGCUUAAACCCGAGUAGGUGGGUUAUGGCGUUUGGGAGUAAAGAGGACUUGAUACUUAAUGCUAUGGUUGGGUUUCACGACCUUAAUGAUCUUUAGUAGUUACGGAUGCUUGCUAGAUUUCCAAUCAUAAGUGCAUAUGAUCCAAGUAGAGAAAGUAUGUUAGCUCAUGCCUCUCCCUCAUAUAAAAUUACAAGAAUGAUUACCGGUACUUAUUAUCGAUUGCCUAGGGACAAAUGACUUUCUUGUUGACAAACGCUAUCCACUUUUAUUACCUUGCAAUUUAUUCAUAGUUUUAUUCUCGCAAAAUACUCUUAUUUUUAUUCUUGCAAAAUAGUUUCAUACUUGUUCUAGGUAAAGCAAACGUCAAGUGUGCGUAGAGUUGUAUCGGUGGUCGAUAGUACUUGAGGGAAUAUUUGUUUUGCCUUUAGCUCCUCGUUGGGUUCGACACUCUUAUUUAUCGAAGAAGGCUACAAACAAUCCCCUACACUUGUGGGUUAUCAAGACCUUUUUCUGGCGUCGUUGCCGGGGAGCAAUAGCGUGGGGUGAAUAUUCUCGUCUGUGCUUGUUUGCUUUGUCACUAAGUAGUUUUUAUUUCCUGUUCUAAGUUGUUCUCUAUCUUUAGUUAUGGAUAUGGAACACAAAACACCAAAAACAUUAGUUGUACUUGCUACUCAUGGAGAUGGGGAACCUCCUAAAACCCUUGAUGCUCGUUAUGUGAAAAAUAUUAUGCAUUACUUUGAUAAUCCUGAGAAAACCCCAUUCAACUUGAUAAUGGGAGUAACGUUGGAUCAACAUGAAUACUUUAGGGAUUAUCGCUUGACACAAAAAGGGAAACUUUUAUGGGAUCAAAUUUAUAUGUUGCAUUGGUAUGCUCAGGAUUUAUGCUUGAGAUAUGAUUUUACUUGUUGCUCUAGGAUGAAUGCUCCACAUCUUCCCUUUUCAUGCAAAUUUAAUGAUAAUGAAACCUUAGCUUCUUAUGCCAAUGGUAGAUAUGAUUGUUAUGAUGUGGAACGAAUAGAAGAAUUUGUUGCUUUUAAGGGUGCUUAUGAAAUAGAAUCUUUGUUUCUAAAGUAUGAAGCUUUUGAUGAUGAUGUUUAUAAACCUAAAAAAUUUGCCAUCCUUAAAUAUUGCUAUGAUAACUAUAAAUUCAAUUCCGAUAUUGAUGCAUUUAUUGAGAAAGUCUCCGCUGUCCAAGAAGAGACUAAUAUUUUGCAGGAGUCUAUGGAAGAAGGAAUUGAUGAAACUGUGAGCUCAUUGGAUGAAAAAGAUGAUGAGGAGAGCGAAGAACAAAUGGAGGAAGAGCGGAUUGAUCACCCAUGCCCACCUUCUAAUGAGAGUUACUCUUCAACUCAUACAUUUUUUAAUUUCCCUUCAUGCUUACUAAAGGAUGAAUGUUAUGAUAAUUGCUAUGAUCCUAUUGAUUUGUUUGAAAUAUCCCUUUUUGAUGAAAUUGAUGCUUACUAUUCUUGUGGCCAAGAUGCCAAUAUGAAUUAUGCUUGCGGAAAUGAAAUUGCUAUAGCUCCUUAUGUUGAGAAAGAAAUUGUUGCUAUUGCACCCACACAUGAUAGUCCUAUUACCUUUUUGAAUUCUCCAAACUACACUAUAUCGGAGAAGUUUGCACUUAUUAAGGAUUACAUUCAUGGGUUGCCUUUUACCGUUGCACAUGAUAAUUUUGAUGAAUGUAAUAUGCAUGUGCUUGCUGCUCCUACUUGCAAUUAUUAUGAGAGAGGAACUACAUCUCCGCUUAUCUAUGUUUCCAACACGAUAAAAUUGCAAGAAACUGCUUAUACUAUGCAUUGGCCUUUACUUGAUGUGCAUGAAUUGUUCUUGUAUGACAUGCCUAUGCAUAGGAAGAGAGUUAGACUUCGUUGUUACAUGACACGCAUCACUUUGUGCUCACUACUAAAUUCCAUAUCAUUGCUAAUUAAAAUUGGCUUUGAUAUACCUUGGGAUCCGGGUGGAUUCAUUACUUGAGCACUAUAUGCCUAGCUUAAUGGCUUUAAAGAAAGCUCUGCCAGGGAGACAACCCAGAAGUUUUAGAGAGUCAUUUAUUUAUGUUGAGUGCUUUUCUAAAGUUUAAAAACAGAAAAAAAUAUAGAGGGGAACCUAAAACUUCACAAAAUGAAAAGUGAAAGUGAGAGGGACAAACAUUGUGAAAGUAGGAGCUAGCCUUGAACUUUGUUCAUGCCCAUGGAAACUUUGUGAAUCUUAAUUACAGAAACCUUUCAACAAAAAUAAUUAUCCCCUUGUACAAAUCCAUUGUAUUAUAAAAAUAAUGUGCCAAGGUUUGCCUUUAGGAUGAUUAGAUUGCUUGUUGGUUUGUGCGGUGCAGAAACAGAAAUUUUGACUGUAGCGUGUGAAUUUUCCUUUUUUACUGGAACGUCAAACAUUUCUGAAACUUUUUGAAAAGUCUUGAUAUACAAAUUGUUUAUUUUUCAUAUUUUUCAGAAUUUUUGGAGUACCAGAAGUAUGGUAGAUGUUCAGAUUGCUACAGAUUGUCCUGUUUAAGACAUAUUCUGUUUUUGAUGCAUUGUUUUGCUUGUUUUGAUGAAACUAUCGAUGUUUAUCGGUGGUAUAAGCCAUGGUAAAGUUAUAUUACAGUAGCAACAAUGCAAAAACAAAAUAUCAAUUGGUUUGCAACAGUACUUAGAGUAGUGAUUUGCUUUAUUAUACUAACGGAUCUUACCGAGCUUUCUGUUGUGUUUUGUGUGGGUGAAGUGAUCAAAGAUCGAGGAGGUAUCGAUAUGCGGAGAAUGAGGAGAGGCAAGAGCCCAAGGCACCCCAAGUAAAUAUUCAAGCAGACUCAAGCGUCUAAUCUUGGGUAUGCCCCGGAAGGCAUCCCAUCUUUCUUCAACAAGUAUCGGUAUGUUUUCGUCUUUGUUUCGUUCAUGUGAUAUGUGCAAAUCUUGGAGCGUCUUUUGUGUUUGUUUUUCACUUUUAUUUUUUGCACCAUGCUGGUAUGAGAUAGUCCAUGGUUGAUUUAUAGAAUACUCAUUGCACUUCACUUGUAUAUUUUGAGUGUGGCUUUAUAGAAUGCUUCAUGUGCUUCACUUAUAUCAUUUGAAGUUUGGAUUGCCUGAUUCUAUUCACAUAAAAAACCGUUGUUUGUAGAAUGCUAUUUUGCUUCACUUAUACUUAUUAGAGCAUGGUCUUUUAUAGAAAUAAUUAAACUCGCAUGCUUCACUUAUAUCUAUUUAGAGAGUCAAAAGGAAUUGGUCAAUUGCAUGGUUAGUCAUAAAAUCCUACAUAAAACUUAUGGAUCACCGAAUAUGAUAUGUUUGAUUCCUUGCAAUAAUUUUGCGAUAUAGAGAUGAUAAUAUGUGGGAGGUACUAGUAAACGGUUGUGGUUAGUAGGAAUAUUGAUGUUAAUGUUUGUGAUUCUCGAAGCAUGCACAUAUAGUCUCGCGUUAUGCUAUGAAGUUGGAGCAUGAUUUAUUAUUGAUUGUCUUCCUUAUGAGUGGCGGUCGGGGACAAGCGAUGGUCUUUUCCUACCAAUCUAUCCCCCUAGGGGCAUGCGUAGUAGUACUUUGCUUCGAGGGCUAAUAAACUUUUGCAAUAAGUAUAUGAGUUCUUUAUGACUAAUGUGAGUCCAUGUAAUAUACACACCCUUACCUUUUCGCAAUUUGCUAGCCUCUACGAUACCGUGCAUUGCCCUUUCUCACCUCGAGAUGUGGUGCAAACUUCGCCGGUGCAUCCAAACCCCGUGAUAUGAUACGCUCUAUCACACAUAAGACUUAUUAUAUCUUCCUCAAAACAACCACCAUACCUACCUAUUAUGGUUUUUCCAUGGCCAUUCCGAGAUAUAUUGCCAUGCAACUUCCACAGCUUCCGUUUGAUGACUUGAGCAUUCAUUGUCAUAUUGCUUUGCAUCAUCAUAUAGCUGACAUUGUAGUUGUGGCUCAGCCACCGUUCAUCAUUUUCAUACAUGUUACGCUAGAUCAUUGCACAUCCUGGUAUUGCCAGAGGCAUUCAUAUAAAGUCAUACUUUUUCAUAGGUAUCGAGUUAUAGUUUUUAUUUCUUUUGAGUUAUAAGUAAAUAGAAGUGUGAUGAUCAUCAUUAUUCAUUUUUAGAGCAGUGCCCCAGUGAGGAAAGGAUGAUGGAGACUAUGAUUCCCCCACAAGUCGAGAUGAGACUCCGGACAAUGAGAGAAAAAAAGAAAAAAGAAAAAGGAAAAAAAGAAAAAUAAAUAAAUAAAUAAAUAAAGAGAGAAGGGGCAUUGUUAGUAUCCUUUACCACACUUGUGCUUCAAAGUAGCACCAUGUUUUUCAUAUGGAGAGUCUCCUAUGUUUGUCACUUUCAAAGUAGCACCAUGUUUUUCAAAGUAGCACACCCACUUAGUUUUCAUAUUGAGCUUAGCUCUUAGUGCAUUCGUUUCAUGGCAAUCCCUACUCCUUGCAUCGAUAUAAAUUGAUGGGCAUCUCCAUAGCCCGUUGGUUAGCCGCGUCGAUGUGAGACUUUCUUACUUUUUGUCUUCUUUAUAUUUACCCCUAUCAUUAUACUCUAUUCCACCCGUAGUGCUAUAUCCAUGGCGUGAGAGUUGAAAAAGCCGAAGCGCGUUAAAAAGUAUGAACCAAUUGCUCGACUUGUCACUGGGGUUGUGCAUGAUAAAUACUUUGUGUUAAGAAGACAGAGCAUGACAAGACUAUAUGGUUUUAUAGGGAUAGCUUUCUUUAGCAUUGAUAUUUUGAAAGACAUGAUUGUUUGUUGGGAUGCCUGAGUAUUGAUGUCUUUAUGUCAAAUUAUAGACUAUUGCUUUGAAUCACUUAUGUCUUAGUAUUCAUGCCAUGACUAGACAUAUGAUCAAGUUUAUGUUAGGUAGCAUUCCACAUCAAAAAUUAUCUUUUUUAUCAUUUACCUACUCGAGGACGACCAGGAAUUAAGCUUGGGGAUGCUGAUACGUCUCCACCGUAAUCUAUAAUUUUAGAUUGUUUCAUGCCAAUAGUAUACAACUUUCACAUAUUUUUGGCAACUUUUUAUAUUAUUUAUUGGACUAACCUAUUGAUCGAGUGCCCAGUGCCAGUUCCUGUUUUUUGCAUGUUUUUUGUAUCGCAGAAAAUCCAUAUCAAACGAAGUCCAAAUGCAAUGAAAUUUACGGAGAAUUAUUUUGGAAUAUAAGUGAAUUUUAGCAGUUGGAAUCACCGCAAAUGGAGGCCCACACAACCCACAAGACACCAGGGCGUGACAGAGGAGCCUGGUUCGUGGUGGUGGGUUGUGCUCACCUCGUAUGUUGGUUGGAGCUCUACUUCAGGCGCAAGGAAGCUUAUAUCCGGAAAAAAAAUGCGUUAAAAUCUUAGUGCAAUCGGAGUUACGGAUCUCCCGGAAUAUAAGAAAUGGUUUUCAUCCAGAUCUGGGGAACGGGAAAUAGAAGAGAACAGAGAGGGAGAUCCAAUCUCGGAGGGGCUCCCGCCCCUCCGCCGCCAUGGAGGCCAUGACCAGAGGGGGAACUCUCCUCCCAUCUAGGGGGGAGGCCAAGGAAGAAUAAGAAGGAGGGGGUGAUAACCCACAAGUAUAGGGGAUCGCAAUAGUUUUUGAAGGUAGAGUAUUCAACCCAAAUUUAUUGAUUCGACACAAGGGGAGCCAAAGAAUAUUCUCAAGUAUUAGCAGUUGAUUUGUCAAUUCAACCACACCUGGAAGACUUAAUAUCUGCAGCAAAGUAUUUAGUAGCAAAGUAAUAUGGAAGUAAUGGUAACGGUGGCAAAAGUAACAGUAGCAGUUUUGUGGUAAUCGUAAUAGUGGCAACGAAAAAGUAACUAAGCAAAGAUCAAUAUGUGAAAAGCUCGUAGGCAUUGGAUCAGUGAUGGAUAAUUAUGUCGGAUGCGAUUCUUCAUGCAACGGUUAUAAAUAGGGUGACACAGAACUAGCUCCAAUUCAUCAAUGUAAUGUAGGCAUGUAUUCCGAAUAUAGUCAUACGUGCUUAUGGAAAAGAACUUGCAUGACAUCUUUUGUCCUACCCUCCCGUGGCAGCGGGGUCCUAUUGGUAGCUAACGAAUAUUAAGGCCUCUUUUUAAUAGAGUACUAGACCAAAGCAUUGACACUUAGUGAAUACAUGAACUCCUCAAACUAUGGUCAUCACCGGGAGUGGUCCCGAUUAUUGUCACUUCGGGGUUGCCAGAUCAUAACACAUAGUAGGUUACUAUUGACUUGCAAGAUAGGAUCAAGAACUCACAUAUAUUCAUGAAAACAUAAUAGGUUCAGAUCUUAACUCAUGGCACUCGGGCCCUAGUGACAAGCAUUAAGCAUAGCAAAGUCAUAGCAACAUCAAUCUCAGAACAUAAUGGAUACUAGGGAUCAAACCCUAACAAAACUAACUGUUGACGCUAAAAAAUGGCAUGAUCGCAAAGAGUGACUUAAGUCUAUAAUGGAAUGAGGUUAAAAUUAUGAGUUUAUGUCACCAUUUGAUGGCCCUCGUCAAGAUGAUCGAAAUAAAUAUGAAGAUGGACCAAAAAGGAGGUCAAGUGCAAAAGAUAUGACAAUUUCGGAGAUACCCGUGUUGACACCUGAUUAAAGAAUGGCAUGAAACCUAAUUAAGAAGACCUUGGAUGGAAAAAGUUACAACUGCAAAGUUCUUCGUCUCGUCGAAACGGACGGUUUUGAUAUAAAGAUCGUCCCCAGCCGAGGUCGUAUGCAAAAGUUAUAGGCAAACCCGUGCGCUGCAUCAAUGUUGGCCGGAUCAUCCGGGCCGGGGUCCGGAUCAUCCGGGUAAUUGAAGCACUAAGAUUCCAGAAGGUUGGAGCUGAAGACGGAUGAUCUGGGUCAACUCCCGGAUGAUCCGGGUAAAGGCCGGACAAUCCGGGCAAUCGUCCGGACGUCCGGACAAGUUUUUCUGCUGCAGACUUUAUAAAAUGGCCCGAAAACCCCUCAAGAUGGCCUCAGAUCAAAACAUGUUCAACAUGAAAGUUGUGCGUCUCGUCGAGAUGGUUGAUUUUGGUAUAAGAAACAUUCAAAUCCGAGGUCGUAUGCAGAUUAUAGAGCCAAAACAGUAAGCUGCUAUUAGAAAACUGGGCUAGGCCGGAUCAUCCGGGCCGGAGGUCGUGAGAAGUCCGAAUUUGGCUAGAUUUUGAUGAUUUGGACGACAAGGCAAGUUCUUUUCUUGUACGGGAAGUCCAUCCGCCUCUUAUAUAGACGAGAGGUGAUGGCCGAUUGAACAACACACAAUCGAACAAAUCUAUCUACAUCUUUUACCUUUACUUUUCCUUCUCCCUUGUUCUUCUUCUUCCUCGUUCUUCGCUUGUUCUUCUUCAUUGCAGGGCGGUGAACCUUGAGGCCCUAGGGGCGAUCAGGUCGACCUAAGGCAGCCCAUAGCCACCACGCGCCCUGACGGGGUCCCUCCCGGGCGUGUGAAGUUUCAGGUCCUCAAAAGCACCCACCGGAUUGCCUGCGUACCGCGCUUCCGGACGGGUCUCCUUCGACGUGAGCUGCGGUGCAUCACCCUCGUCGUUGGAGGUACACGGUGACGUGUUCGUGUGCGAACACACUUUUUGGCGACUCCGCUGGGGAUCGAAGCUUCAAACGGUCUCCGGUCCGUUCUUGCUACGAAGAGAUCGUCAUCUAGGGUUUGCAAUCUACAAAGAUAAUAUGAAUACCCAAUUCUCAUAUGUAGAUGCAAAUAAUGCAUAUGUUGUUGCUAGAUCAUCUAAUGAGCAUAAUGUAUCGGCUAGCCCUAGCUUUAUCAAUCAUGUAUCUAAUUAUGUGCAAGGGCCGAUGCAACAAAAUCACCAUGAUUCUACUUCAUAUAAUUUUAGCAACAUGCAGCAUAUGUAUCCCAACUCUCAAGCAUCGGCAACCGCACAAAUUUAUAUGCCGAUGAAUAACAUGAUGAGUUCGGUUAAUCAAGUUGAGACACCCUAUGUAGGAACUUCCAAUGGUAUGCAACAAAGUGUUUCAAGUUUUUAUUCAUCAGCAAAUAACUUGCAGUAAAUUAAUCCAAACGUGCCGGUGGAUAGGGGAAUUGGCCAUGUUACUACUAGUUAUUUGGCCAAUUACCCUCAAACAUCAUAUGCUACACCUAAUGCUACUAAUUUUUUGGCACCAUACGCAACUGUUGAUGUCCAUAAUUCGGCUCCGCACCUUCAUGGUCAUGGCCGAAUAAGUGAAACUUCUGCAGGAGCACAAAUGCCUUCACCUACUACCGUGGCAUAUCAUGUCCCCCCUACACAAUUACAGAAUUUCGGCAACAUCUCAUUGCCGAAAGAGUCUAAAAGCAUAGGGGGGCAACCAUAUCCAGACUGGGUAAUUGAGAACAAGCUUACAUUCUCUUGGGAUUUAUGCAACUCUAUUCGCCAGGAACUAAUAGAUGGCGGGAAGCCUCAUGAUUUUACUGCUGUAAAAGCUAGAGUUGUGCAAAUAAUGCAGUCGCCUAGUGCUGUACCAUCCAGUGUACCACCUAAACAAUCGCAAAGUUUUGGCUCCUCAUUGCCGAAAGAGUCUCAAAGUAUUGGGGGGCAAUCUCAUGACGAGUGGAUGGAAAUUGAGAUGAAAAAGUUUAAAGCCCGCCAAACCGAGAUGUGGGCUAAAAUUAGACGAGACCGAGAAGCCUUGCAAAUUCAAAAAGAUAAAGUUAUUGAUUCAGGUAAUAAAGAAAACCCGGUUAUUAGAAAAGCCGAAUCAAGUAGUAUAUAUUAUGAGUCCAUCAAAUCCAAAGAGGCAAGCAUUAUUGAGAAAGGGCAUGGAAAGCAUAGCAAAACAGCCAUACUUGAUUUUUCCGAAGUCAUUGGAACCUACUUCCUGCCCUAUGAGUUCCGUUUCAUAGAAAUUGACAAGCCUCAAGGACAAGAACAAGUAGCCAAACAAAGUUCGGCUGACAUGGAUCUUCAAAGCAAUGAUGCACGGAAUCAAGAAAAAGAUGAUGACAAGGUGUUGGGGAGCCACCCAAAGACGGAGCAAGAUGUUCUUCAAGUCGCACCACUAUCAUGCUCUCCCAACAUAUUUGAAGAGGUAUGGUUGUCAAGUAAUUUACCUAUUUUUAGAUUUGGUCACAACUUUGUUGUUGAUGCAUCUAUUAGACAAAUCCUCACAAGUAAUUUUGGAAGACCAAUGAAGAAGGGUAAUUUACUUGUUAGCAAUAAAUUUUUUAUUGAGCAUAUCGGUCAACCCAUUGCGCCAUUUAUAAAGACCGAUAAUGACUUGUUGUUGCAGCCAAAGUUUUUCCCAUUGCUUUAUUUAAAAUUCAUAUCUAAUUGGGUUGCUUUGCUUGCUUCAUACUUGGCUUACGCAUGGCCUCAAUUGAGACAUGUAUGUUCUAACUACUUUGAUUUCAGAAAUUUAAAGCCAAGGUUAUACUCUGUUGAGAAAACCGAUGAUGGCAUAAUUUCCUUUUCAAAGACAUUGGAGAUAGAGUGCAAAACACAAUGCAUAGCCGAAUGGGGUAAUGCAAAAUCUGAACCAUUCGUUUGCUUAACUUCAAAGCCGUUCACACAGCAAGAUCGGCUAGAAAACAAGAAGUAUACCUUCAACUCAAGCAUGUGUGAUCAAAUAUUUGAUUUGUUGCUGAAAAAUAAUUACAUUACAAUUCUUGAUCACCAUGUUAAGCCAUCAAUCCAAGGACGAGUGUAUUGUAACAUGCAUGAUUCGUCCAAUCAUAAUUUUGAGGAUUGCAACAUGUUUCGUCAAAUAGUUAAAUCCGCCAUUGAAAAAGGACGAUUGAAGUUUGUUGAAACACCAAGAGAUGACCAGUCUAUUCCGAUUGGUCCCAAUGGCAAAAAGUUUUUGCAUCGGCUGCUUCAAGCUGAUCCAUUUAAAGAGAAUGUAAAAGCUGCAGGUGAUGGGAUCAAGCUUUCAAGUAAAGAAGUUGUUGAAGAGCAUAACAAGCAUAAUCUUGAGGGCGAGAGUUCCAUCGAAGCUACAAUGGAGAUGCCAAGGACUGGGGGGCAGCAAGCAAAUCUAAUGAUCGAUGAAAGCAAAUCAAAAGAAAACAAAGGCCGGAAUAAGCGCAAGUGUAAGAGAUCAAAAAUCACCUUCGCUGAACUAUUGGAUAAAUAUCAAAAGAAGAGUGAAGAGAAGAAUGCUUAUCGGCCAAAUCAUGCAAAGAAACCAAGAUCACCCCCAAGGCGCAAAUAUGAGGAUUGGUAUUGGCAAAGUGAUAGUUUUAAUGCAACAUAUUCAUAUCCUUAUUUUUGGCUGCCAAUGCCAAUGCUGUGGAUGCCUCCCUAUGCUCAUAUAGAUACAUAUUCAUCAUGGGGUAGGUGUGAUACAAGGGCACAUUCUCCAUCUUAUUCUAGACCAUCUCACCAAUACUAUGUAGCUCCAAGGAGAUCAACAUUUGAACAAUCAUGCGUCAAAGACCGUUUCAAUCAUAAGGAAUCGGUCCAGAGCUCAAGGAAGAAGAAAGAGGUGGUAAAGCAAGUUUACUGCGUGAAAAGAGAUGGUCGUAAGUGUGCUGCUUCAGAUUUGAUCUUAAAUAACAAAGAGCCAAUUAAAGUGUUGACAUUGGCUACAAAAGGCAAAAAAGUGAAGCAAUCAUUUGAUAAAAAUCAGAGUGCCAAAUCCGAAGAAAAGAAGUUGAGGGUGCACAAGGCCCAAAAAGAGUUACCAUUGGUUGAAACAAAAUCACAGUCGAGUUGCUCACUCGGCUUAUCGUAUUGGCAAAAGAAGGAGUUACAAAAGCUUAGUGCACAAGAACUUGAAGAAAGGAACAUGGCAUGGGUUCCCAAAGGAAGUACUCAAAAUAAGAAUUAUGUGCAAGUUUCCAUUACAAGGAGUGCGGCAAAGGUGAAGAAGGAAAAUAGUGAAAACUAUGAAGGACCAAGCCGAAGGUUUCAGCAUCUUCGGUCUACACAUUAUCCAUAUUCUUCAACUAUGCCAUUAACGCCUAUGCCAUGGAAUUCGUUGUCAGGUAUGAUUGGUAACCCUCAAUGGGCUUAUUUUAAUCCAUGGAUGCAAUAUAAUUUCUUACAUCAUGAAAGGGUAUUACCAAAUCACUAUACGUUUGAUUAGCUACAAGUUUGUUGUUGAUCCAAAGGGCCGAAAUACUUGAUUUGUCAUUUCAUUUGUUUAUUUCGGCUAUAUGUGCUUUGAAUAAAGUUUACAUGGUAAUGGCCGAUAUUUAUCUAUCGUCCUAAGAUUAUGUCAAUGCAUGGCCGGUGUAGUAUCCUAACAUCGUCCUUAGUUCAAUAGGAGACCAAAACAAGCCUCAUACCACUUAAAAUAUUUUUGCACAAUAAUAAAAGCCGAAUAUGAAUUUUUUUUCGAUUUGGAGCUUUUGGUUGCCUAGGUGCUAUACAUACUGAGGCUUUCAGUGAUUCGUUAUGAGUAGUGCAACAAAUAUCCAAGAGUUAUCAAUGUUUUGACGAAUCACUUAUAGUUUAUCUUGAGGUAUGUCUAGAUGCAAAAUUUACCUUGGGUUCCUUUAACAUUGUUCAUAUUUCUAGACAUGACAAUUCAAGAGAGUUGGCACAACAAGCAUCUGGCUACUAUGUUAAUCAUGGUGUAUUGCCUUUAUGUCAAUAGUCGAUGCUUAGUCUCUUCAACAGAGGUAAGGCCGAACCGAAGUCCACCGCUUCAGCCACUAAUGAAUUUUUUUAUACAGGCGAAAUUAAGGAUUGGAGAAAGUUUAUUGUUGAUUAUCUGCGAAAUCCUAGCAAAAGGGUGAACAAUAUGAUUCAGAGGAUGACCUUGAGAUACAUAUCUAUGGAGCUUUAUCAUCGGAUUGUUAAGGAAGUUGAGAAGGUUUCACCCAAUUUUGCAUCAAGGAUUCAAAGAAAUAAUGGCCGAUAUAUAUUUAUCGCCCAAGCACAUGCAAAGUGGCCGAUGGAGUGUUGACAUCGUCCUUAGAACCAACAUGAUACAAGUUAUUUUUCGGCAUACUACCUUUGCCGAAAAACAGGGGGGCAUGUGUUGACGCUCAAAAAUGGCAUGAUCGCAAAGAGUGACUUGAGUCUAUAAUGGAAUGAGGUUAAAAUUAUGAGUUUAUGUCACCAUUUGAUGGCCCUCGUCAAGAUGAUCGAAAUAAAUAUGAAGAUGGACCAAAAAGGAGCUCAAGUGCAAAAGAUAUGACAAUUUCGGAGAUACCCGUGUUGACACCUGAUUAAAGAAUGGCAUGAAACCUAACUAAGAAGACCUUGGAUGGAAAAAGUUACAACGGCAAAGUUCUUCGUCUCGUCGAAACGGACGAUUUCGAUAUAAAGAUCGUCCCCAUCCAAGGUUGUAUACAAAAGUUAUAGACAAAACCGUGAGCUGCAUCAAUGUUGGCCGGAUCAUCCGGGCCGGGGUCCGGAUCAUCCGGGUAACUGAAGCACUAAGAUUCCAGAAGGUUGGCGCUGAAGCCGGAUGAUCUGGGUCAACUCCCGGAUGAUCCAGGUAAAGGCCGGACAAUCCGGGCAAUCGUCCGGACGUCCGGACAAGUUUUUCUGCUGCAGACUUUAGAAAACGGCCCAAAACCCCCUCAAGAUGGCCUGAGAUCAAAAAGUGUUCAACAUGAAAGUUGUGUGUCUCGUCGAGGCGGUUGAUAUUGAUAUAAAAAACGUCCAACUCCGAGGUCGUAUGCAGAUUCUAGAGCCAAAACAUUAAACUGCUGUCAGAAAACUGGGCUAGGCCGGAUCAUCCGGGCCUAGAGCCGGACAUCCGGGCCGGAAGUCGUGAGAAGUCCGAAUUUGGCUAGAUUUUGAUGAUUUGGAUGACAAGGCAAGUCCUUUUCUUGUACGGGAAGUCCAUCCGCCUCUUAUAUAGACGAGAGGUGACGGCCGAUUAAAGAACACACAAUCGAUCAAAUCAUCUACCACUUUUUAUCUUUUAUCUUUUCUCCUUAACCCUAGUUCUUCUUCUUUCUCGUUCUUCGUCUGUUCUUUUUGUUGCAGGGCGGCGAAUCUCAAGGCCCUAGGGGCGAUCAGGUCAACCUAGGGCAGCCCAUAGCCGCCGCGUGCCCUGACGGGGUCCCUCCCGGGCGUGUGGGGUUUCGGGUCUACAAAAGCGCCCGCCAGAUUGUCUUGCGUACCGCGUUUCCGGCGGGUCUCCUUCGACGUGAGCUGCGGUGCAUCGUCCCCGACAUUGAGGGUACACGGGGGUGAUGCACCACAGCUCACGUCGAAGGAGACCCGUCCGGAAGCGCGGUACGCAGGCAAUCCGGCGGGUGCUUUUGAGGACCCGAAACUCCACACGCCCGGGAGGGACCCCGUCAGGGCGCGUGGCGGCUAUGGGCUGCCCUAGGUCGACUUGAUCGCCCCUAGGGCCUCGAGGUUCGCCGCCCUGCAAUGAAGAAGAACAAGCGAAGAACGAGGAAGAAGAAGAACAAGGGAGAAGGAAAAGUAAAGGUAAAAGAUGUAGAUAGAUUUGUUCGAUUGUGUGUUGUUCAAUCGGGCGUCACCUCUCGUCUAUAUAAGAGGCGGAUGUACUUCCCGUACAAGAAAAGAACUUGCCUUGUCGUCCAAAUCAUCAAAAUCUAGGCAAAUUCGGACUUCUCAUGACCUCCGGCCCGGAUGUCCGGCUCUAGGCCCGGAUGAUCCGGCCUAGCCUAGUUUUCUGAUAGCAGCUUACUGUUUUGGCUCUAUAAUCUGCAUACGACCUUGGAUUUGAACAUUUUUUAUACCAAAAUCAACCGUCUCGACGAGACGCACAACUUUUAUGUUGAACAUGUUUUGAUCUGAGGCCAUCUUGAGGGGUUUUCGGGCCAUUUUCUAAAGUCUGCAGCAGAAAAACUUGUCCGGACGUCCGUACGAUUGCCCGGAUUGUCCGGCCUUUACCCGGAUCAUCUGGGAGUUGACCCAGAUCAUCCGGCUUCAGCGCCAACCUUCUGGAAUCUUACUGCUUCAAUUACCCGGAUGAUCCGGACCCCGGCACAGAUGAUCCAGCCAACAUUGAUGCAGCGCACGGUUUUGCCUAUAACUUUUGCAUACGACCUCGGCUGGGUACGAUCUUUAUAUCAAAACCGUCCGCUUCGACGAGACGAAGAACUUUGCAGUUGUAACUUUUUCCAUCCAAGGUCUUCUUAAUUAGGUUUCAUGCCAUUCUUUAAUCAAGUGUCAACACGGGUAUCUCCGAAAUUGUCAUAUCUUUUGCACUUGACCUCUUUUUGGUCCAUCUUCAUAUUUAUUUCGAUCAUCUUGACGAGGGCCAUCAAAUGGUGACAUAAACUCAUAAUUUUAACCUCAUUCCAUUAUAGACUUAAGUCACUCUUUGCGAUCAUGCCAUUUUUGAGCGUCAACACAUGCCCCUCUGUUUUUCGGCAAAGGUAGUAUGCCGAAAAAUAAGUUGUAUCAUGUUGGUUCUAAGGACGAUGUCAACACUCCAUCGUGCACUUUGCAUGUGCUUAGGGCGAUAAAUAUAUAUCAGCCAUUAUUUGCUUGAAUCCUUGAUGCAAAUUUGGGUGAAACCUUUUCAACUUCAUUAACAACUCGAUGAUAAAGUUUCAUAGAUAUGUAUCUCAAGGUCAUCCUCCGAACCAUAUUGUUCACCCUUUUGUUAGGACUUUGUAGAUAAUCAACAAUAAACUUUCUCCAAUGCUCACUUUUAACUGCAUAAAAACAAUAUUAGUGGCCGAAGCGGUGGACUUUGGUUCGGCCUUACCUAUGUUGACUAGAGUAAGCAUCGGUUAUUGAUAGAAAUGCAACAAACCAUGAUUAACAUAGUAGCCGGAUGCCUGCUGUGCCAACUCUUUCAAAUUGUCAUGUCUAGAAAUAUGAACAAUUUUAUAGCAACCCAAGGUAAAUUUUGCAUCUAGACACACCUCAAGAUAAACUAUAAGUGAUUCGUCAAAACAUUGAUAAGCCUUGGAUAUUUGUUGCACUACUCAUAACGAAUCACUGGAAGCCUCAAUAUGUAUAGCCAUAUAGCAUGUAAAAG